This 77193-nucleotide long non-coding RNA is filed under the name Malus domestica (apple). Its description in RNAcentral is "long non-coding RNA (MDOM_LNC007848)". The record is from RNAcentral. Lineage: Eukaryota; Viridiplantae; Streptophyta; Magnoliopsida; Rosales; Rosaceae.
CCUGUUAUGCUUCCAUCUGAACCUGGGCUGUAGACAAUCAAGUUUCCAGCACACUUGUGGUCUCCAAUGUGAGAGCAAGCAGUAACAAAUACCUGAUUUGUCAAUCCUCGCAGCUCAGCCUCCUCUUUGAACUUAUCAAUGAGAAUAGGUCCACAAACUCCACAUUUUUAUCUCGACUUCCAUGUAGACCUGUAAACGGGUUAGGUUUAUUGGGUUUGGGUCGGGUUGAACCCGACCCGUUAAGUUAACGGGUCACCCGAACCCGACCCGUUAAGCUAACGGGUCACCCGAACCCGACCCGUUAAGCUAACGGGUCACCCGUUUCACCCGUUAACACCCGUUAACAAUUAUUAUUAUUUUUUUUUUGCAUAAAGUUUAUUUUUUGUUAUUAAAACUUUACUAAAAUUACUAAAAUAUCCUCAACUAACGGGUGCUAACGGGUGUUAACGGGUCUAACGGGUUGACCCAAAGUGACCCGUUAUUUAACGGGUGUUAACGGGUUCACCCGUUAGCGACCCGACCCGUUAAGCAUCCACCCAAAUACAAAUAUUAACGGGUUGGGUCGGGUUAACGGGUUGGGUCCAAAAUGCCAGGCCUACUUCCAUGUGCACAUACAAAUACAUGGGAGCCAGUCAACGCCUCUUGCACUACGGAAGCCCAUGGUUUGUCGUUCACAAGGACAUCAAUUGGUUAGAAACCAAGCCAUGUUACCGGCACACAGCCUCAGAGUAAACAAGGAAAAUUUCAAGGUAUCAACACUAAAACUAGUCCAAAACACACUAAAUUAGCUCAAUUCGAGACUUCGUAAAUUGAAAUGGGAAAAUCAUAAACUCUAUCUCUAGUUAGCAAUCAUCGAAAUCUCCUAGUCAAAUAAAGCAAAUCUGAAGAAUCAAAACACCACUCACUGGUUAAUUAUCUAAAUCCUAUAAAUUUCGGUUAAAAUUAAGCAACUACAGAACAAAAACAUCUUUACCUGUAUUUGAUCAUUUGUGGGAAAAUCAACACUUCGCCGUCGGAAAACUCAGUUCCUUCGCGUCCUUUAAUUACUGUCGGGUCUAUCAAAAACCAAGAAAAAAGUGAGUAAUGGAGUCAACUCAGCUCAACACCAGAACUCAGUAGCUCCAGUAAAUAAGAAACGGCAAGAAAAGCGAAACGCCGACGAGUUGAACUGCAAAACGGACCUUAACGGCGAUGUCGUUCUUGCGAGCUUUGAGAGCGGAGGCGAAGAACUUAGGGAGCAGAACGGACUCAGAGCCUUCGACGCACGACGGCCAGGCCUCGGGGGUCUUGUAGCAGAGUAAGACGUGGCGGUCGUACGCGUUGACAGUGCCAGCAAGUUUUUCCUUGCACAUCUCCAAUCUCUUGAAACCGAACCUCUCGUCUUCGGUGGCUGGAACGGCGACGUCGAGGUCAUCGGAGACCAUUGCUAGGGCUCGGAGAGGAGGGAGGGGUUUACCAGGGGUUGAAGUUGAAAACGAUGAGAGGGAAAAGAUGAGAGAGAAAGAGCGUUGUUGUUUGGUUGUUGUGUUGAUAUAACGAGGAGGCUGAGAAGGGAACCGCGGUGUCGGUGUGGGUGUAGGUGCGUGCGCAACACAUACGGCGCACGAUGGGGUUUCUGAAGAUCGGAGUCGGGACGCGUGGGAUUGGGCACGUGGGGUUUGAUUUGUAGUUCAUGUAUAUACCUCUUUUUUGAGAAUAAAGAUUUUUUUUGGAUCCUCUUUGUAGGGAUUUUAUAGUUUGUGUAUCGUAUUCAUUCAUUGUAAAUCAGACGGUUAGAAAUUACUUUAAAUCUAUAAAUUUAAAAUUAAACACAAAUAAUAUUUAAAGAAAAUUGACUGCAUAAUUAAUACGAUAAACGAACACAAUUAAAAAAUUCUCAGAAUCCUCGUAAAAAGAAUCCGAACUCUUUUGAUGUCUCCGAUCAUAUCGGACGGAAGCUAAAAGAUAAUUCGUGCACGCAAAAAUGGAAGGUCCUACAAACGGAGGAGGACCACUCUCUAUUCCCGGGAAGUGGGGUACAAGCGCGUAUGUAUAUAUCACCCAAUGGGGCACCAAUAUGUUGUACUAGCAGGGAACUGAAUGAGGUGAAAUUGGAAAAUCCCUUAAACUUGGUGAUGUGGCGACCUGUGAUUCGGCCUUCACAUUCUGUCAAGAAACAGGCCGGUCACUUUGUUGAUUAAGUCAAGCAGUCAGCCUUAGCCCGACGUGGACAAGUUCUGGAAGUCUUGUUUCGCUCAUUUAUUUAUUUCUUGUCAAUGACGUGUAAUAUUUGAUUUCAUUUGUUUUUUUGGUGGACUAAUAUUAAAUAUACUUUUGUCAAUGAAUUAAUGAUACAAUUUAGAACGGUGAUAUUCACACAUUUUGCACAUAUUCUUCAAUUUGAUAGUUGAAAAUUGAGAAGAAUGUGUGUGAAAUGUAAAAAGAACGUGUAAAUAGCAUAUCCCUACAAUUUAAUAUAAAGGAAUGUAGAUUUCAAACAACGAUUGUUUUUUAAGGUAACGCUUUUGUUCUUGAUUUUUCAUGUUUGAGCUUGAAAUGAACCGCUUUCAUAAUCUAUUGUAUUACUUUGUGUUCAGUUGAAUAAAGUAUCUUUUUCCAACGAAAAAUAAACGGAAUGGCAUUUAAAUAAGGAGUGUAGAGAGUGUAUGCGUAAGGAAAGAGGCAUGCAAAAUUCAUUUCAGCUCAUACAUCUUUGUGUUGCUUAUGUUGGUCUUUCAAUUAAUUAUGUUGAGAGUGAGGAAAUAAAUUGUACUUAGCAGUGUCAAAUUACAACCCUAAUCGAAAAACGUCUUGUUCGCCGGACCUACUCGACUGCUCCGAACAAUGUAAGGCCGAAAGGCGGACGAUACAUAAUCGGGUUUUUUCGAAGUAGGCAUUCAUAAACAUCAAGGAAGCAUACUUGGUAGAAAAUGAAAGAUCCUCAACUUCAUUCCUCAAAUUUUCAAUGCAAUUGAAUUUCCUCAAAUCUAAGGAACUACCAGAUUGUAAUGCUUGCAAUGGAAGGGAACCAUUGUGUACAUGUAGCAUCCACAUGAAUCAGUUGGAGGCUUGUUGGAGUUUUUAACGGAAUGACCAAAAUGAUGGAUGGUAGACAAUCUCAAGGACCACUUUUGAUUAUUUACCCUUCUAUUGAAUUUGCAAAGGGGAAGAAGUUUUAAAUCCAUUACAAAAGAGAUAAUUGCAGCAUGAUUGAUAACAUGCUCAUCACGUGAUUGGGUUCCUAAAAUUCCCAGGUUGUUGCAGGCUUCCUCGUCCUUGUAGAAUAUUUUGUUCAACAAUUCCAGAGAAAAACAAUUAUUCGAUUCGUUUCAGGUAACAGAUGAGUAGCUUAAUUCAAAACUUGUUUUCGUUCUAGAAGUUUAGAUUAUACAAGUGAAUGGUCAAUAUGAUAUACUCGAUAAAAUUACAUGUCUCCUUUUAAAUUUAAAGUUCAUUAUUUUGAAGUGAUUUUUGGAAUUUAAUUUUUCAAUUUAUUUGAUUGAGAGGUGAGGAAUUGGAGAUAAUUAAUUAUGUUUGGGGGUUAACUGGUAUCCUCUAGAAUAUGUUUUUUUUUUUAAUGAGGAAUCCUCUAGAAAAUGUUUAACUUUAUUUUAAAUUUUCAUGUGGUUUUGGCUUCAAUGAGGCAAUGGCAUAUGUGUAAAUAAACAAAAGUUUAAUUCUAACCUAAGGGGGCUGACGGAAGUCAGGGGCAUGGAUGGAAAAGGAGUUUCUUACUUUGCACGUGGGGCUUUAUUGUUUGGGUUAUUCCUCCUAGCUUUUGUCAUUUUCAUUAAAAUUUAAAUCUUUUUAUUAAGUAAAAUUAUUAAAUAGUUUUUUUAUUAAGAAAUUGUUAUUAGGAUUCUAAAAAUCUCAUUUAGCAUUCUAAAUUUUUUAUAAUUAGAAAAAAAAAUACACUUAUAAGAAGUGUAAAUGAGAUUUUUGAAAUGCUAAUAACAAUUCGAUUUUAUUAAUAAAAAGUUUGAAGAAGGCCUUUUCAUUAAAAUUCCCCCAAAAAAAAAGGAGUAUGCUUCUUCCUAAAACGCUUCUUUAGGCCAUAUAAACAAACAGUGAGACGUAAAAACAUGCCCCAACCUCAAAUAUUUCUCUCACAAACAAGGAGAGAAUUUUCAGUGUGACCGGUACACAAGGUGGUACACCACGUAUCACUAAACAAAUAAUAGGAUAUGUGUGCUAAAAAGUUAAUAACUUAAAAAAUAAAAUUUCCCACUAUUCUUAUUAAAACACGUGAUGUAUCACUUAUAUUCCCGUCACAACUAAAAAUUUCCCUACAAACAGAGAGACGUAAAAACAUGCUGCCAUGGGCUUCAGAGAGGAAAAAAGAUCAGGAAAAAAAAUGACCUGAUUGGGUAAGACUUGUACACAAGUUUGUAGUAAAUGUCUACGUACCUUCCUUACAAGUCUGUCUCUUUACUGUGCUUUCCUUCAAUUCACUGUUGUUUCUUCAUCGUCAAAGCUUUCAAUAUUAAGAUCAAACCUUAAUGUUUUGCAGACCUCAUCAGAUGAGUGAUCUCUUAACUCUGUACCAUUGUGGGUGUCGUCAUCAAACUCAUAUGGUAUAGUCUAAUAGUCUGCCUCAUCAGUAUCAUCAUCUCACUCUAAUGGUACACGCUCAUAGUUCACAUUUUUUAUUUCUGAAGGUAAACAAUGUUCCCAUCCUACAAAAUUCACUCCUGUUUUCUUCACCUUACGAACCUUGUCCCCCCUUUUCAGAUUGAGCUUCCUGUUUGAAAGACUUCCCAGCCAAAGAUAAUCUUCAUGGGAAUCAGUUAUGGUGGCAUCCAUUCACCAGAUGGAAAAAUAAGUUCUCUGGGUAACCACAUCGAGGCAUAGAGACCCACUACACUGGGAUGGUCCGAAGAAUAAACGAUGCACACAGCCAACCCUCCUAUAUAAUCAAAACUUGGCGGCACUUCAAAUUUGACAUUUUCUUCCUCUCUCACGACAUAGGUUAACGAUUAAGGAAUAACAUUUCAAGAGCGACAAAUUUCACCAAAUACAUCCCCCACCUUCCAUUUCUACAACACGGCGUGCAAAGUUUGUAUAAGCAAACAAUACGAGAAGGGCAGAGCGAGAGAGAGAGAGAGAGAGAGAGAGAGAGAGAGAGAGAGAGAGAGAGAGAGUAUCAUGCAACAAAACAUAAAAACUCAUCUGGGAGAAUUAUGACUCUUGUGAAUUGGUAGUAUUAUCGAUGCAUAUGUUAUAUGAUCUUCAAACUCGCUAUAGCGUGACUUUUUUUUUUUGUAUCUUUUUCAUCAACUUCAUUUGUUUUUUUUUUUUUUCAAGUAGAGCUGAUAAACUUAAAAUUUAUCCACAACCUAAAAAAUGGAAGAAAAAAAAAGAGGUGGAUGUACAAAAUCCUUGCUAUGCCCUCUAUAUUCAACAGAACAAUAAAUUGAGUUAACGGAUAUAAUUGAAGUACCAUAUUUGAUUGUGUUUGAGAACCAUAAUAAGGAAAAAAAAAAACUACUCUAGAAUGAAGGUAAAACUCGUGACAACAAUGGUGUACAUCUAAAAAAUAGUUCAAGCAGAUUAAGAUGUUAGCGCAUAGACAAAUAUCUCGUUUAUUGAACAAACGAUGAGGAUAACAAUGCCGUUUUCUCUCUUUCGAAAUUCAUAAACAACAAAAUUGAGAUUUGUUACACAAAAAUUACCAUAAAUUUUGACAGAAUUGGCGGUUGAAAUAUAAGUCCAGCAUCCAAAUCGAAAACAAUCAUAGGAGCUUAGAAAAUACCACAUCAACCUUUAGCAAGUAGUCUCAUAAGAAAUCCCAAUCAAGAUAAAACCAUUCAACAGUUUAUUAGACUUCUCCUUUCAUAUAAGAGCAUGGUUCGGAGGAUAAUUUAAUUGACCUCAUAACAUCUUUCUACAAAGAAAAAAUGAAAAAGAAAAUAGGGCCUCGACACCUGUGGCAAAACCCGACAUGGAUUAGAGUACUUUUCUGCCUAACCUUCUAUAAAAGCAAUAGGCCACAACUACUAUUGCCACUGCUCCAAUCAAGCUUGACAGCUUCCGUAAGGCAUCCUUCCUGGCACACGACUCCCUGGUUUCUUUCGGCUUUUUUUCCUCACUUCCACCGUUCUCCUCCAAACUUACUUCUUCGCAACAUGUAAAUCCAUCACUAUUAGCACCCUGGCAACAACCUGAAAAGUUCUCAUUAUUCUCAAUUUGAUUGCCCUUUUCUUGGUGAAUCUGAUUGCCAUUUUCUUGUGGCUUCUCCUCAAUUUUCUUAUUUUCUUCUCCAUUUGGAAGCUCCCGGUCAUUGAUUUCUUCAGCUUCAUCAGAAGAUGCUCCCAUUUGGCCCCUGUAACAAAUGAAAUUGAAUUUCGUGUUCAACUAUUUAAAGAUUCAACUCUAAGUUUCGUCAAUAUCAAUUGAGUAAGAACAUGUAUGAUCAAGCUUAAUAAACAAAUCACAACCACAUUACAAAUAAAAACAUAUACAGGGUAAUGCAGUUAUAUCCAAUUCUUUUGUGCUUUCUCCACAAAAGUUCCUCCAUGUUAAUGUAACUCUAUAUCAAUUAAUCUAUCAUACAAGACUAGACAUAAUCAGCAAUUGAAAACUACGACAACACAAGCUUCCGUCCAGUGAAAAUUUCAUCCAAAGAUAGGCAAAACCAAAAACGUACAAACCUCCACAGUCGUUUUAUAAUCUUUCCCUUCCCAAUAUGCUCAUCAAGCAAUUCCGGCACAUCAUCAGGAGUGACGUCGCCAUACCUGCAAUUAAUAAUACAUUUUAUUCAAAUUCCAUUGAUCCCAAUACAACAAAAUUUUAAAUUGUUAUGAUCCGAAUAUUACCAAUGGCCUGUUAUGCUUCCAUCUGAACCUGAGCUAUAGAUAAUCAUGUUUCCAUUGUGGCCUCCAGUGUGAAAGCAAGCAGCAACAAAUACCUGAUUCGUCAAUCCUCGCAGCUCAACCUCCUCUUUGAACUUAUAAAUGAGAACACGUGCACUAUCAUGAUUCCAUUCCUCUCGACUACCUUGUGCACAUACAAAUACAUGGGAGCCAGUCAACGGCUCUUGCACUCUGGAAGCCCAUGGCUUGUCAUUCACAAGGACAUCAUCAACAAAGUUGUCCACAUCCGACUCUUUCAAACCCCUUUGAUCAAGAAACAAAAACAAUCCCAAAAUCACAAAAAGGAAUUUACAGGAAACAAUAACCUAACACUCUUUAAUUCCUUAUAAGGCAAGGAAUUAGUCUUAAAUUGAGUCAUUAAAUUAAAUUUCUAGUACUAAUUUCAGAAGAUAACACAUAUCUAAUUAUCUACUUAGUUCAUGACAUUUAGCACAAUUUCGUAAUCAAAAGAGAAGUCGAAACAGAAAUUACUUCAGUCAAAACUAGGAAAAUAAAUUGCACUGCUCAUCUUGGUUAUGGAAUGGGCCCUUGAUUAUGAAUUAAUUACGGUUUGCCAUUGUGUGCGCUAGUGUGGGCCGUGCUUAACAACUGGGUUGGGCUGCUGCAUUUGGGCACAGGGUGCAGCUCUCAAGCGUUUUGGGCUGGGUUUCACCGAAAGAUCCAAUAACUAUUUUGCCCCCUUCAGUCCUAAUCCAACGGCCACCAUUUUGGGCGUUUGUGUUCUGCAAUUCAGUGGUUGGGGGUUGGGGGUUGUGGUGGGGGGGGGGCGUCAGGAUCUCUUCAAGGAGAUCGUGCAGAGAGGCAGCGAGAUGUUUCGGUUCUGUCUUCUUCGACUCUUAUAUCGUCCCUUUUUUCUGAAUUUUCUUUAUUUCUUAUCCUUUAAACUUUGUAUUUUUUUUUUUGGUGAUGCAGAUAGAUGAACAUGUUCAAAGGGAAAUCAUGAACCACAGAUCACUGCAUCCGAAUGGACCGAAUAUCGUUUGAUUCGAAGAGGUCAGUGAUCAUAAACUAUUUUAUAAACUAUUUUCAUUUUGUUUUUUAAGAAUGAAUUCGGCAAGUUCUGUUUGAAUUUUGUAUAAGUAUCUGCUGAUGGUGGGUGGAUGAAGACAGAACAUGCUAAAUUUGGCCUUUGGUGUGCUCAAACUGGUACGGGGGAUGGUUAAAACUUUGAGCCUGGGAUGCAGUAGGACUAACAGAAAUCCACCACUUGCAGAAUUGUUGUCAAAAUAACUCUGCUAAAAAUAUGAGCUAUACUUCUUGCACUUUGUUUUUACUGUGAAGUGGAAAUAGUCUUUAGAGUGGCUUAUUUGUGAUAAUUGAUAAAGAGGUUUGUGUUUAAGACUUGAGAGUAGUGCGGUGUCUUUCUCGCUGGUUCUGCUCACACCACCUCAUCUAGCCAUUGUGAUGGAGUACACGGCUGGGUGAGAACUCUUCGAGAGAGUAUGCAGUGCUGGCAGAUUUAGUGAGGAUGAGAUAAAGUAGUUUCAAAUGCACAGAAAAUUUCAUUGGAAUUGAUUUUAGUGUAGAGUCUCAAAUAUGGGAUCUCUAAAUGUCCCCUGAAAUGGAAUCCAUCUCGAUUUUUGCUUAGUUUCAGAUAGGGAAGGUUAUGUCUGAAGCAUUUUUACAUAAACAAUCAGUCAUAAUAUAACAAAAACGAACUUACUUUUUCGAUAUAAUUGUUGUUUUGCAUCAGGCAAGGUUUUUUCCUCCAGCAAUUGAUAUCAGGAAUUAGUUGCUGGCUUUUGAUGGUAUGUAAUGUGGCACUUUUCUGCUAAUCGUAUACUGUUAUUUCUCUUUUGAUAUUGGAAGUGUUGGUUGUAGUAAGGAAAUAAUUCGUUUCAAUAGUUUACGACUUAGUUUUAAUAGUAUAUGACUCAGUUUUUGAAUAGCACUCGGGUGGUUUUUGAAUAACAGUAUUACGACUUAGUUUUCUAAAUGCCAAUAACAGCUCUAGAUUUUGUCUCAAGUGGAGUAUUCUUACUAAUGUAGCAUUUUGUUGGCGCAUCAGUAUGUUUUGAUUGUUUCUCUGCUUGAACAGAGAAUUGUUAACGUCCAGGUGGGAACGUGGGUUGGCUCAUGUUUUAAUCUCUCCGUUGUAAGCAAUUUUACAUGGUAUUCUUCAAUGUAGCUAUAGGUAAGACAACAGUCUCAGUAUUCCAUAAUCUAACCACCAUUUGAACUUUUUUCAUCCACCAAGCUAAGCUUUUAUGUGCCAUCUUGAAUGGUUAUUAUAAGUUAUUGCUUCAGAUUACUCCAGUGCGACAUUAUUGUUCUCUUCCUUACCUCUCAAGCUUGCUUAAUGUCCUUAUUCUUAUUACUGUUGUAUUGUUAAGAAAUACUCAAAUGCGGUUUCAGUUCAUCAUUAUGAAUCAGAUUAAAAUUAACCACUCACUGGUUAAUUAUCUAAAUCCUAUAAAUUCAGAUUAAAAUUAAAGCAACUACAGAACAAAAACCUCAAGAAAUCAACACGAAUUUACCUGUAUUUGAUCAUUUGUGGGAAAAUCAACACAUCGCCAUUGGAAAACUCAGUUCCUUCGCGUCCUUCAAUUACUGUCAGCAACGUCUAUCAAAAACCAAGAAAAAAGUGAGUAACGGAGUCAAUUCAGCUCAACACCAUAACUUAGUAGCUCCAGGAACUAAGACACGGUAAGAAAAAAUAAUCGGAAAUGCUGACGAAUUGAGCUGGAAAAGGGACCUUAACGGUGAUGUCGUUCUUGCGAGCUUUGAGAGCGGAUGCAAAGAACUUAGGGAGUGGAUCGGACUCAGAGCCUUUGAUGCGCCAUGGCCAAGCCUCGGGGGUCUUGUAGCAGAGGAAAACUUGGCGAUUGCUCAACUGCGUAUCGUCCUUAGUGUCUUCAUCAGACUCAUAUGACAUAGUCUCAUAGUCGUACCAAUUAGUACGACCAUCAGACAAAUCCCAUUUUACAAUAUCCACUCCUGUUUUGUUCACCUUAAUAAUUGUAUUAUCUAGUCCAGAAAAUUCUGCUUUUACAAGAACCAUGUCACCGCUUUUCAGAUUGAGCUUCUUGUUUGAAAGAUUUCCCAACCAAAGAUAAUAUUCAUGGGAAGCAGUUACGGUGGCCUUCAUUGCCCAGACGCGAAAGUUAGUUCGCUGGGUACGAUUAACAACACCAAUGGUUAGAAUCCCAGUACAGUCAGAGUUGUCCGAAGAAUAAACGAUGCCCAAAGCCAACCCUCCUAUAUAAUCAAUACUUGGCGGCACUUCGAAUUUGACAGUUUCAUCCUCUCUUGCGACAUAGGCUAACCAGUUAGGAAUAUCAUUUCCAAAGAGAAAAAUUCCACCAAAUGCAUUUUUCUACACCAUGGGGUGCAAAGUUAGUAUAAGCAACAAUACGAGAGAGAGAGAGAGAGAGAGAGAGAGAAAGAGAGAGAGAGUACCGUUUUGGAGGUUCUCCUUAAAAGUAUCAGUGAGACUGGUACACCCUUCCAUGUGAAUUGAUUCCAUGUAGUCCAAUGAGUUCUCCAAGUUUGGAAUAUCUUUGAGUUUGCGGCAGUCUUUCAGUUCCAAUUUCCUCAUUUUCGACAUCUCUGAAAAGUCGGACGUUAUUUCCAGUGCAGUGCAGUAAUUCGCUUCCAGUAGAAGCAAACUGUUCGGCAAAUCUGGGAUUGCCUCAAGGUUUGUGCAAUGAUUUAGAUGUAAUUCCUGAAGCUGAGAAAGGCCAUUGAGAUUGGGCAGCCUAUUAAAACCAUUCCCAUAUAGAACUAAAUAUUUUAAAGAAGAUAGACUCCCAAUUAUUUCGAGAAGGGCACCAUCUGUUAUAUUGCAGUCGCUGAGACCUAAUGCCUCAAUCAUCUUCAGUUGUAGUAAAAAAUGGUAACCCCUACACAAACCCUUACAGCCACUGAGGUUCAAUUCCUCGAGAUGUGGGAGUUUUGAAAAGUCUAGUAAUUCAGUCAGGUUAUGGCAGUCUUUAAGAAUGAGACACUUCAACAUCUUAGGCAACUUCUUAGGCAACUGUUACUCAAAAAGUGAAAACAAUAAUAAAAAUAUAAAUAAAUAAAAGAGAGAAUGCAUGCCGAUGACCGAUGUUGAUAUUUACAAGGACAUUGAUAAUUAUAUCGUACCAGGUCUGAAUCAUCCCAAACUCGUACAAGCUUGCUAUUUCUCAGGUCAAUAAAAACUAGGUUUCGUUGAUCAAAAUCUGCUGGUAUGGCUUCAAGGGGAAAUCCAUCCCAAACCAACAAUCUUAACUCCUUGGAAAGAUGUUUGUAGCUUCCAGUCAGCUUUACAAUUUCCAGCCGGAUAAAUUUCAGACGCCGCAUCUUCUUAAACGCUUCUGUACUGAAGCUUUCCUCGUCAUCAGAAUCUUCUGGCAACCUUAAGUUUAGUCCUUCAACUGCUUCUGUUCCCUGUUAGAGAUAUAAAAAAAAAAAAUGAUAAUAUUCACACGAAGCAGAGCCGUGAAUUGGAUGAAUGAGCUACUAGAAUGGUAGGGCAUACAACAUAAUUAAUUAUGUAUUUUCUCUUUCAAUUUACAGUGGAUGAAAGCCUUUUCUUCUUUUUCUUCAAAUAUAGGCAUACAUUAUAUAUAUGCGGAUAUGUGUAUACACUUCUCUUUCUUUACAUGUACUUAACAUAACAUCUUUUUAUUGCAAAAGUACUUACUGAUUCGUUCAUGAGCACGUUUUUUGCAUCUUCACUAUGCCACAAUCGGCUACGUUUUCCCAAUUCCACAAGAGAUUCUGCCCGCACAAUUUCUCUUCCCAUAUCUCGAAUCAAAUCAUGCAUCCUCAAGUAUCCCUCUUCAUCAAUAUAUAAGAGACAUCGUUCGUAAAGUGUGAUAAUUUCUGCUUCUACAGAAAAACUACUACAACCAUCCAAUAUUGCCGUGACAAAAAUUUUACUCCAUCCAAUAAAGAAACAAGAUAUGUCAAGGAAUACACCCUUCACAUGAUCAUCACGUAGCCCAUCGUAACUUAAUUUAAGCGUUUCAUGAAUUUUUCCAUCUGGAAUAUUUCUCAAUUUAUCCAAUGUACUUUUCCAUAUGCUUUUACUCUUUUUUGUAGCCAACAACUUCAAGAGCUAGGGGCAAUCCUCCACAAUAAUCAAUAACAUCUCUUGCGAGCUCAAUAUAUUCUUUAUCUGGACAAUCAUUUCCAAAGGCAUGCCAACUAAGAAGCUUAAGAGCUUCGUCAUCAGUCAUUCCUUGUGCUUUAUAUCUUUUAUCCACCUUUUGUAUAUUCAGCACUUGUUCAUCUCUUGUCGUUAUAAUAACUCUGCUCCCUGGACCAAACGAGUCAUGUGCUAUUGCCAAUUUAUCUAAUUGGUCCGCAUCAUCUAUGUCAUCAACCACGACAAGUACCUUCAUGCUUCCAAGUCUUUUCUCUAUCUCCUUGGUUCCUUCGGCAACACUGCUUACCUUAAUGUCAAGCCGUUUCAAAAUAUCUCGAAGAAGUUGUUCUUGGAGACUAACCAUAUUUUUCUUGUUACUCCUCACCUCUUCAAGGUAACAUUGACUGCUGAAACUGUGACUAUAUUUGCUACAAAUCUCUUUGGCAAACGUUGUUUUACCUAUACCGCCUGUACCCCAAAUUCCAAUUAUUUGAACAUCAGGUGAACCUCCAACGUCUAAGUAUUUAGUGUUGAAUUCUUUCACGCGAAGAGCUAUUCCAACUGAGUGCUUGGCAUUUUUGAAGUCUCUGGGGGUCAAUCGUCCCUUGAUGUCCCCAAUAAUUUUCUCAAUAAACACUCCUUCGCGCCUACAAGUAGAAAUUCCAAAUUACAAGAGCCAUACUAAUGCCUUAUUCAUCAUGACUAUAUAUUUACAUAUUGAAACAGGUUUGAAUAAAUUGUGAUUUACUGAGCUCAAUUCAACAACGUAUUUAAUCUUCAAUUAUAAUGUGAAUAGAUUAGAUCAUUGGUCAUUGGACUAUUACACCAUUGUAGCUUUCAGUUAUAUAAUUAAGAAUCCAUUACAAUUGGUAUUUUAAUUUGAUAAAGUGUGGAGCAUUUGUUCUUCACACACCCAUAAAAAACGAAGCAUUGUACCCUGCAUUUCACUUCCUUAGUUUUGACGGCAAUUCAUAUGCAAAUGCUCUACCAUUUAUAAAAUUCAUAUACCAAUUCUAAUAAAUUUUUAUGCAGUGACCAAAAUUACAAUUCUAUCAUAGUUCAGGGACCAAUGAUCCAAUUUUUCUUCUAACAUAUAAAAUCAUAUUCAAUGCCUUAAUUAUAAUUUCUUAAUUUUGGUUAAUUAGUGAAAUAACUCCGCCUGUGUAAGUUUAUCUUACAUUGCCGGUCCCAAGCCCGGGUAAAGGAGGAGGGGGGAGGGCGUCAGGUAGUCGACAGUCGGCACUACACAGUUACGUCGAAUCCUUAUGAAAAUGAAUCCAUAACGAAAUCGCGCUAAAGCUAGGGCGUCACCCGUAAGUGGCGCGCUGUGUGGCCCGAGCACAGUGAUAAGUGAGCAAGGGUCGCUGUAUCUCCAUAGGCACCCGGAUGCAGUGUUAAAUGAGCAAGGGGGCCAUAGAAACUUCUUUUUGAACGACUCCACUCAAAGUUGUUUAGGAGCAUAUGCUCCUAUCAACUUUACACGGGACACACAAAAGAAGUACUUUGAUUCCAUUGGACGGGGGAGGGUGAAGAAGCUAGGACAGAAGGGUAGAGUUCAAGAGAGUAGAAUGCGUUUAGGAACGUGGAAUAUAGGAACCUUAACGGGAAAAUCUAUGGAAGUAGUGGAAGUUAUGGUAAGGAGAAGGAUAAAUAUUAUGUGCCUAUAAGAAACUAAGUGGGUUGGUCUUAAGGCAAAGGAUCUAGAAAACUCAGGGUUUAAACUUUGGUACUCGGGCACAAAUAGAACGAGAAACGGUGUUGGCAUCAUCGUGGACAAGACCUUGACACAAGAUGUUGUAGAUGUCAAGAGGGUAGGAGAUAGAAUUAUGGCAAUCAAGAUUGUAAUAGGACAAGAACUCAUCAAUGUGAUUAGUGCGUACGCACCUCAAGUAGGGUUGGAUGCGAGUUCGAAGGAGAAAUUUUGGGAAGACCUUGGAGACUUGGUGCAAGGAAUUGCCCAGACAGAGAAGUUAUUUAUAGGAGGAGAUUUAAAUGGACACGUGGGCAGGGAGACAGGCAACUAUGGAGGUUUUCAUGGUGGCCAUGGUUUUGGGGAGAGAAACGAGGAUGGGAAAGCUAUCUUGGAUUUUGCAAUGGCAUAUGAUCUCUUCUUAGCCAACACCUUCUUUAAGAAAAGAGAAGAACAUGUGAUCACCUACAAGAGUGGGUUGUCAAAAACACAAAUAGAUUUUCUUCUAAUUUGGAAAGGGGAUCGUAUAACUUGUAAGGAUUGCAAAGUUAUACCGGGAGAGAGCUUGGCUAAUCAACAUCGCUUGUUGGUGAUAGAUGUACAUAUCAAAAGAGUGAGAAAAAAGAACAAGACUUGGAAGUGCCCAAGGACUAGAUGGUGAAAUCUAAAAGGAGAAAAACAAGUCAUUUUCAAAGAGAAAGUAAUCACCCAGUGUGGGUGGGAUAGAGAGGGGGAAGUUAGCCAAAGGUGGGAUUCCAUGGCUAGUUGUAUACGAAAAGUAGCAAAAGAGGUAUUAGGAGAGUCCAAGGGCUUUGCUCCACACCAAAAGGAAUCUUGGUGGUGGACUGAGGAGGUACAAACAAAGGUGAAGGCUAAGAAAGAAUGUUGUAAAGCCCUAUACAAGGACAUGACCGAUGAAAAUGGUGAAAGGUAUAGAAGAGCGAAGCAAGAGGCGAAGAAAGCUGUGAGAGAAGCUAAGUUAGCGGCUUAUGACGAUAUGUAUAAGCGACUAGCAAAAGAAUGAGAGUUGGAUAUUUAUAAACUAGCUAGAGCAAGGGAAAAGAAGACAAGGGACCUAAACCAAGUGAGGUGCAUCAAGGAUGAGGAUGGAAAGGUUCUUGCUACAGAGAACGCGGUCAAAGACAGAUGGAGAGGUUAUUUUCAUAAUCUUUUCAAUGAAGGACAUGAAAUGAGUACUUCUUUAGGGGAGUUGAGUAACUCAGAAGAGUGUAGAAACUACUCAUUUUAUCGUCGAAUCAGGAAGGAAGAAGUGGUUGUAGCUUUGAAGAAGAUGAAGCAUCGAAAAGCAGUGGGCCCAGACGAUAUACCGAUCGAAGUGUGGAAAGUCUUGGGAGAGACAGGUAUAGCAUGGCUCACUGACCUUUUCAAUAGGAUUUUGAAAAUGAAGAAGAUGCCAAAUGAGUGGCGAAAUAGCACUUUGGUGCCUAUCUACAAGAAUAAGGGCGACGUACAAAACUGCAUGAACUAUAGGGGUAUUAAGCUAAUGAGUCAUACAAUGAAGCUCUGGGAGAGAGUCAUUGAGCAUAGAUUGAGGCAAGAGACACGGGUUUCGGACAACCAAUUCGGGUUCAUGCCAGGGCGCUCAACCAUGGAGGCAAUCUAUCUCUUACGAAUAUUGAUGGAAAGAUAUAGAGAUGGGAAAAAUGAUUUACAUAUGGUCUUUAUAGAUUUGGAAAAAGCGUAUGAUAGGGUCCCAAGAGACAUUCUUUGGAGGAUUUUAGAGAAGAAAGGAGUACGAGUAGCAUAUAUCCAAGCUAUAAAGGAUAUGUAUGAAGGAGCAAAGACUGCCGUAAGAACUUAUGAAGGACAAACCGAAAGCUUCCCCAUAACUGUAGGAUUACAUCAAGGCUCAUCCUUAAGUCCUUACCUUUUUGCGUUGGUAAUGGAUGAGUUAAUAGGACAUAUUCAAGAUGAUCUUCCUUGGUGUAUGCUUUUCGCAGAUGAUAUAGUGUUGAUAGAUGAAACUCAGGAAGGGGUAAAUACGAAGCUUAACCUUUGGAGAGAAGUGUUGGAAUCUAAAGGUCUUCGCCUAAGCCGAUCAAAGACAGAAUAUAUGGAAUGCAAGUUCAGUGCAAAUGGAGGCCAAAAUGAGUUAGGGGUGAGGAUCGGAGAUCAGGAAAUGCCAAAGAGCGAUCGUUUUUUCUACUUAGGAUCUAUCUUGCAAAAGAACGGAGAAUUAGAUGGAGAUCUCAACCAUAGAAUACAAGCUGGAUGGAUGAAGUGGAAGAGUGCAUCCGGCGUGUUGUGUGACCGCCGUAUGCCACUGAAGCUCAAGGGAAAAUUUUAUAGGACGACAAUAAGGCCGGCGAUGCUGUAUAGCACAGAAUGUUGGGCGGUGAAGCAUCAACACGUACAUAAAAUGGGUGUAGCGGAGAUGAGGAUGCUUCGUUGGAUGUGUGGGCACACGAGAAAGGAUAAGAUUAUGAAUAAGGAUAUCCGAGGUAAAGUAGGAGUAGCCGAAAUUGUAGAAAAGUUGAGAGAAAAUCGGUUACGGUGGUUUGGACAUGUGCAAAGAAGGCCUACUGACGCUCCGGUUAGAAGAUGGGACUACGGGACAGAGGUUCAAGGCCGAAGGGGUAGAGGAAGACCUAGGAAAACUUUGGAAGAGACUCUAAGAAAAGACUUAGAGUAUUUGGAUUUAACAGAUGACAUGACACAGGACCGAGCACAAUGGCGUUCUAAGAUUCAUAUAGCCGACCCCACUCAGUGAAGAAGGCUUUGGUGUCUUUAACACAAUACGUUGGAAAUGAAGCAAAGCUUAUGUAUUGAUAUCUCCGAUAAGUUACAAAUAUGUACAUAUACAUGAGUCAAAAUAAACAAACAAGAGGGAGCCUUCACAAAGGUUGCUUAGGAGAAGUCUCAGCAGUCGGUAGAGCCCCAGAAAGAGAAGGCACCGGAGGGGGAUCAUUCGGAGCCUCAGUACUGGACAGAACCCUAGAAGGAAGAGGCAUCGGAGGUUGAUCAUUUGGAGCUUCAUUAUGCAGUACAGCCCCAGAAGACGAAGGCAAUAAAUGCCUUUGGAACAAACCCACAAACCGCUGAUGAUCAAGUAAAACUUGACCAUCAGAUUCCUUCAUCUGGUCAAGCUUCCUCUUCAUGUUUAUAACAUAGUUAUGUGCGAGCCGGUGCAACUGUUUAUUCUCAUGCUUGAGCCCGCUAAUCUCCUGUUUGAGACUCAUCACUUCAGCCGCCAAUGAUUCAACUUGGCGGGUUCGAGCAAAUAGGCGUUGGGCCAUAUUAGACACAGAACCUGCACACUGAACACUCAGAGCCAGAGAAUCCUUAACAACCAAUUCAACAGACCGUUUGGAAAGUAGUCUGUUAUCUUUGGGAGUGAGAAGGUUCCUGGCCACCACCGCAGCGGUCAUAUCAUUCUUCAUCACAGAAUCCCCAACGGUAAGAGGACCAGUAGGGGAUAAGAAGGAUGGGCGCCAUAUGUUGUCUGGAGAAGGUGUGGCUGCCUCUUCAACAAGGUUCAAGUCAAAACGACGGUCGGAGGGGCCAGACAUUUUCAAAGGUGUUGAAGAGAGAAAAGGUCAGACAAAUCAAGAUCUUAGAAGUGCAAGAAGGGAGCUUCUACUGGUGAAGAUUCAGGUGUGCUUUGAAACUUAAUGCCAGCCUCUAUAAAAAUCUGCACUUGACGGAGCUUCAGAAAUCAAAGAGGCAUCUGCCCAGAAAUCGAAGAGGCGUUUGCUUUCUCAAAAGUUGGGCUGCUCAGAGACCACGAGGGCCGAUUUCAGAAAUCGAAGAGGCGUUUGCUUUCUCAAAAGCUGGGCUGCUCAAAGACCACGAAGGCUGAUCUCAGAAAUCGAAGAGGCGCUUGCUUUCUCAAAAGAUGGGCUGCUCAGAGACCACAAGGGCCGAUCUCAGAAAUCGAAGAGGCACCUGUUUUUUUUUUUUUCAGCCUUGUCAGCAUCUGUCACAUGCACACUCAGCUUUGCUGAAAUUACGGGCAUUCUGGUGAAGUAGAAAGCACGUGAAUCUUAUUGUUCAAUCAUCCACUUUUCACACGCACCAUCAGCUCAUGGGUACCACAGAUAACUUUGCCAAAGAUCUCUGACAAAGUUUAGACACGUGAAGCUUGCAGCUCCCACUACAUCGCUAUGACCAAGAAGGGUAAAAUAAUAGCAAAGAAACAACACUAACAAAGUUUAGACACAGAAAUUUUGAAGGUCUAGCUAUCAUAUUAUUACCCACAAGGGUAAAGGAACAACAUCACGGCUGGAUAAUUGGAAAGUCCCUGUGUGUCAACCUCUGUGCUCCAUGGCAAGGUAGACUAGCAAACAUGCCCUACCUUUACUCACAUUCGAGAAAACACUCCAAACAAGAUUGCUUGCUCCAAAAUCGAAGAGGCACCGUCCUCCGAAUCUUGAGAGCCAGACUCCCAACAUGAUUACUUUCUCAAAAAUCGAAGAGACACCGCUCUCCGAAUCUCGAGAGCCAGACUCCCAGCAGGAUUGCUCUCUCAAAAAUCGAAGAGGCACCGUUCUCCGAAUCUCGAGAGACAGAUCCCCGACAGGAUUGCUUGUUCGAAAACUGAAGAGGCAUCACUUUCUCAACUUCGAGAGCCAGAUCUCCUUGGAUAAAGCUUGUCUGUAAUCUUCACACGCAACAUCAGCUUUCCAGAUACCACAGACCACUUUUUCAAAGUGCUCUGACACACGUGAAGCUGGCAGCUCCCACUACCGUGCUAUGACCAAGCAGGGUAAAGGAAUAGCAUUACUACUUGUUGUUAGGGAGACUCCUAUAUAUGUCGACCUCCAUCUUCAACGGACAGGCAGACCUGCAAAAAUGCUCAACCAUUCCUCAUAUCUGAGAGGGCACUCCCAACGAAGCCUCUCGAAAUACUCAGCUUUCUUUCCCCCCCCCCCCCCGAUAAUACCUUUGCAAACAAGCUACACCAGAGCAAGAAUAUCUCAUAUCAUCAGGGUUAAAAGCAAGAGUAUCCUAUAUCAUGCUAUUUCCCUGUCUUUUCCUUUGGCCUUGUUCUUACCUGCAAGACAAGGAGAACAUCUACCUAUGAGACAGAUAAGGCAAGUGAAGACGAUACCACACUUCGGUACUUAGAAGUUUCGUGAUUACGAUAUCAUUCUCCCACAAUAUUUCCUUAUGUCAUUUGUACUAAAUCAUUCAUUUGUACCCACUAAAGGAGAGCUUGAACCUAUGUACUUGUGUAAACCCUUCACAAUUAAUGCGAACUCAUCUACUCCAUAGACGUAGCCAAUCUGGGUAAACCACGUACAUCUUAUGUUUGCUUUCCUGUCUCUAUCCAUUUACAUACUUAUCCACCAUAAUGACCAGAGCAAUAAGUUAAUACUUUCUGUUGUACCAAAGUCCUCACUGAUUUUUUGCAUCAACAAGCCUUAAGUCCUUACCCUUUUGCGUCGCAAAUGAUAUAAGGUUGAUAGAUGAAACUCAUGAGGGGUAAAUGCGAAGCUUAACCUUUGGAGAGAAGUGGUGGAAUCUAAAGGUCUUCGCCUAAGCCGAUCAAAGACAGCAUAUAUGGAGUGCAAGUUCAGUGCAAAUGGAGACCAAAAUGAGUUAGGGGCGAGGAUCGGAGAUCAGGUAAUACCAAAGAGCGACCGUUUUCGCUACCUAGGAUCUAUCUUGCAAAAGAACGGAGAAUUAGAUGGAGAUCUCAAUCAUAGAAUACAAGCUGGAUGGAGAGGUGGUCUGUGAAGGUAGUGCGUGUCGUCACCUCUAAAGCUCAAAAACACCUCGUUCUUCCAGCGGUUUGAGCGGCACGGGCAAGACGAAGAGGCUGCGAUGGCGGUUCCAUGGACAGAGCUGAUGGUAUCUAUCGAUAAUUGGUACUAGCGUUGGGAGACUAGAGGGAGUGCAGCAGGCUGUGCGGCUUGGCUUUCAGAUAGCCAAAGCUCAGUCAAAUGUCAUCGCCUAAGUAUUAUAGAGAAACAAAAUGCGUGGAGCGAUAUGAAUAUACAUGUACAUGGCAUUGCAUAAGUUUACUACAAAAUAUGGUAACACCCUAAUUUUUAUGGACAUAGUACUAUCAGUAUUUGUGACUAUCUGCAUUGCAACUAUCCAAUAUUGCCAUGACAAUAGUUAUAUCCCAUCCAAUAAAGAAAUUAGAUAUGUCAAGGAACACACCCUUCACAUGAUCGGUACUUAACCCAUCGUAGCUUAAUUUAAGCGAUUCAUGAAUUUUUUUCAUGUGAAAUAUUUUAUUCAAUGUACUUUCCCAUAUGCUUCUACUUUUUUUCGUAGCCAACAAAUGGCCAACAACUUUCUGAGCUAGGGGCAAUCCUCCACAAUAAAGAACAACAUCUUCUGUGAUGUUGAGGUCGUUGCUGUCAACGAUCCCUUCAUCACCACCCGACUACAUGGUAAGUAAUUUACAUGGGUUUCCGCCUGUGACUGAAAACAGGUUCUCAGCUGAGUAGAUAGAAGUAUGCAGGGUUGCCAGGGCAUACAAUUCAUUAGUUGUGGGAUAUGUAUAUAUCUCGUCACGUCCCAUGCAGACACAUACCAACAUUUCAGGAUCGGGUGGAUUGAGUCUUAAAAUUGAAAAUUAGUUUAUAUGACAAAUUGAAAAAAAAAAGAAAAAAAAAAGUAAGCAAGCUCAUAUGACAUUUAAAAAAAAAAAUUCUUGUUCUCAAUUGUAGAACAUAGCUCUAACCACUUAUUGCACAAACACAUAAACCAUGACGAUGAUACGUUUGUUAGUUCUCAGUUUUUAUUUUGGACUUGGAAGUUGUGGGCACGGUGUUGCUGUUAGGAACGGAUUCAACUCUGAUGUACCUCUAACUAAUGCAUUGGUGACCGGUUCUGUCAAAACCGCUGCCAGCUUGUUCCGGUUGCAGAGAAAAAUGUGAUUUCUUGUUGCUCCAUGAUUGCUCUUUCACACUUAACAGGCAAGAACACUUACAUCUAUGAUAGGUGAAGAGAGAAAUUUCCUUGAAAUGAGGUGGUUUAUAGAACACUCAAGGCUCAAGCCAACCCCUAAGAUAUGUCUCUAAUUAAUGAUGUGUAAGACAUACUUACAUGUAAAUUUCUCUAAUGUCACUGAUCAAAUUGGAAAUUAUUAAUUUAUAUUUGUUAAGAUGAUAAGUUACUUAAAAAAAAUAAAAAAAGGACUCGUGACAUUGCUUCUCUAGAAAGUGCUUAAGCUAGAAGUGCUUCUAUUAUAACCACAUUGAAAUUUUUAUUAGAAACUCAAGUACAUUCUAAAAAACCACUUAAGGAUGCUUUUCGAAAAUAAAAAAAAGGCGUAUGCUUCUCCAUGAACCGCUUCUUUGAGCCAUAUGAACAAUUUAAACAAACCCCUAACUAGCGAGCAUGGCCUAGCCCAACCCCCAAUAUUACUCUUAGAAGCAACGAAAUUGAGAUGUAAAAACAUGUUUUCAUGGUCUUUAUAGAGGAAAAAGAUAGGGUAAAAUGACCUAAAUGGGUAAGAUUUAUAAACAAGUUGAUUCAUGCUUCAUAAUUGCAUCAGUUCCUUUGCAGUUUGUAGUAAAUGUCUACGUACCUUCCUUACAAGUCUCUUUACUGCGCUUUCCUUCAAUUCACUGUUGUUUUGUCAUCGUCAAAGCUUUCAAUAUUAAGAUCAAACCUUAAUAUUUUGCAGACCUCAUCAGAUGAGUGGCCUCUUUAACUCUGUACCAUCGUCAGUGUCGUCAUCAAACUCAUAUGGUAUAAUCUGAUAGUCUUCCUCAUCAGUAUCAUCAUCUCACGCUGUCACGCCCCGAUCCCCACAUACGUCCAGGAUCGACACUUGACGUCAUCAAAUAACCACAUAUCUAACAUACCCCGCCUCCAAGAUAUGUACAAAGCACAACUCGAGAAUCGAAUCGCAUAGAAGUAUUUCGUAUACUUUAUGGCUGCAUCUAACCUCUUCGUUAGACUGCCUACAUACCCUCAUUAGGGAUCAAGCCAUUCGUAGUUCGUCAUUCAUUACACCUCGACAUUUAUCACAAUACGUUCAAAUCGAAAAGCAUAGCAUUCCUCAAUCAAUUAUUAGAACUUAACAAGCAUGAAUUACUAGAUUCAUGGUUACAUAACAAAUCCACAUGACAUUCAAGGUUUCCAUUCCAUCCAUCAUAUAAAUCACUAUGUUUUCAACGUGAUAUCUCCAUCCACAACAUGUAACUUAUCCAAUAACCAACGAAGCACAAUAUUAUUCUUAAGCCACAUUGAUCACUAAAUAAUCAUAAUAAUAACAAUCAUAUUCAACAUCAUUCCACAAUUCCCGUCAAUUAAUCCCUUCAUGAAUCAAGGAUGCAUGAUCUUAGCAUUUAACUACGUUAAUCAAUCAAUGAGAUAACAUACCAUUUCACCAAUUCAAUUAGAGAACUCUAUAUAAUUCCCUACUUGGGUUAUGAGUAAUAACAUGGUAAUUCUAAUUUAUAUUCACAAGGUCUAUGGAUAAUUCCCAUUUGCUCGAAUCUAGGGUUCUAGACUAACCUUUUGGAACGUGCAAGAGUAAGGAUUUCGGACCACUCAACGGAAUUCAACCACAUCGGGUUCCAGACCACUCAACGGAACCAAAAUAUCAAUCGGUUUCUCGUAAUCUAUCCAGACCUGUUGCAUGUAAAAUCAGUGCCUACAUCAUGGAAAUGGUGCAUUGGGUAAUUCAGAACUUGGAUAAGUUGUGAAACUCAGGUGAACGACAAUAAUACAAAGUGUGAUAAUAGUGAUAAAACCAACCAUCAAUCACAGUUUAUAAACUUUGAAUAUGAAUCAUUCAUAAGAAAUUAAUACCAAACCUUCGCAAACUCUGAAGGAGUCACCCAAACAUCCAACGGUUCGUCUGAAACAAUCACAACAUCUCAUAACCAUAUUCUCAUACAACACCAUGAAAAGUAGGGUUAGAGCGACAUAGUUCGGCCGAAGCCUAUACCUUUGAAGCUAUCUCAAUCCAAACUCAAUGAAACCCAAGGUGAAUACAAUUCCGGAACUUCACUCAACGGAAUCGCGGAGUAGAAGGGAUUCUGGACCAUCUCUCAUGGAAUCCAAGUGGAUACGAUUCCGGAACAUCACUCAACGGAAUCGCGGAAGGCCAACAACCAUAAUGUACAACGGCUCAAAGAAAUGAGACAAGCACAAGCUACUAAAUUUACAAAAGCUUAACCAAGGGAAAUAAGGCACAUAUGCUAAAUUUAAAACGAAUCAACGAAGAGGGAAAAGAAACAAUAUCGAAGCAACAUAUCCCCAAUCACAACGGGUUCACAGUCCACCACUAGUCUUCACAUUUCAUCACAUCAAGCCAACCAUACAAAGCAAACCAUGUUUCUAAUAUGCACGUCAAAUCCCACAUCAUAAACUAUAACGAUGGCACUUUAUAGAAAACAUAAUCAUAAAACCGUCUCAUACCCUCUCAGGAUAAUAAUUAUGAAAAUAGAGUAAUCACCUGUAACAUAUAUUAAAGUCACUCACCCUUUUUUUUUUAUGUACAUAUACAUGAGUCAAAAUAAACACACAAGAGGGAGCCUUCACAAAGGUUGCUUAGGAGAAGUCUCAGCAGUCGGUAGAGCCCCAGAAAGAGAAGGCACCGGAGGGGGAUCAUUUGGAGCCUCAGUACUGGACAGAACCCUAGAAGGAGGAGGCAUCAGAGGUUGAUCAUUUGGAGCUUCAUUACGCGGUACAGCCCCAGAUGACGAAGGCAAUAAAUGCCUUUGGAACAAACCCACAAAUCUCUGAUGAUCAAGUAAAACCUGACCAUCAGUUUCCUUCAUCUGGUCAAGCUUCCUCUUCAUGUUUGUAGCAUAGUCAUGUGCGAGCCGGUGCAACUGUUUAUUCUCCUGUUUGAGACCUCUAAUCUCCUGUUUGAGACUCAUCACUUCAGCCGCCAAUGAUUCAACUUGGCGGGUUCGAGCAAAUAGGCGUUGGGCCAUAUUAGACACAGAACCUGCACACUGAACACUGAGAGCCAGCGAAUCCUUAACAGCUAACUCAUCAGACCGUUUGGAAAGUAGUCUGUUAUCUUUGGGAGUGAGAAGGUUCCUGGCCACCACCGCAGCGGUCAUAUCAUUCUUCAUCACGGAAUCCCCAACGGUAAGAGGACCAGUAAGGGAGACGAAGGAUGGGCGCCAUAUGUUGUCUGGAGAAGGCGGGGCUGCCUCUUCAACAAGGUUCAAGUCAAAACGACGGUCGGAGGGGCCAGACAUUUUCAAAGGUGUUGAAGAGAGAAGAGGUCGGACAAAUCAAGAUCUUAGAAGUGCAAGAAUGAAGCUUCUACUGGUGGAGAUUCAAGUGUGCUUUGGAACGUAAUGCCAGCCCCUAUAAAAAUCUGCACUCGACGGAGCUUCAGAAAUCGAAGAGGCGCCUGCUCAGAAAUCGAAGAGGCGUUUGCUUUCUCAAAAGCUGGGCUGCUUAGAGAUCACGAGGGUUGAUCUCAGAAAUCGAAGAGGCGUUUGCUUUCUCAAAAGUUGGGCUGCUCAAAGACCACGAAGGCUAAUCUCAGAAAUCGAAGAGGCGCUCGCUUUCUCAAAAGCUGGGCUCCCCAGAGACCACGAGGGCCGAUCUCAGAAAUCGAAGAGGCACCUACUUUUCCAGCCUUGUCAGCACCUGUCACACGCACACUCAGCUUUGCGGAAAUUAUGGGCAUUCUGUCGAAGACUUCUGGGGAAGUAGAAAACACAUGAAUCUUACUGUUCAAUCACCCACUUCCCACACGCAACAAUAGCUCAUGGGUACCACAGAAAACUUUGCCAAAGUUCUCUGCCAAAGUUGAGCACGUGAAGCUUGCAGGUCCCCACUACAUCGCUCUGACCAAGAAGGGUAAAAGAAUAGCAAAGAAAUAGCACUAACAAAGUUUAGACCUAUAAAUUUUGAAGGUCUAGCUACCAUAUUAUUACCCACAAGGGUAAAGGAACAGUACCACUGCUGGAUAAUUGGAAAGUCCCUGUGUGUCAACCUCUGUGCUUCGUGGCAAGGUAGACUAGCAAAACAUGCCCAACCUUUACUCACAUUCGAGAAAACACUCCCAAUAAGAUUGCUUGCUCCAAAAGCCAGACUCCCAACAUGACUACUUUCUUAAAAAUCGAAGAGAGGGUAAAGGAACAGUACCAUUGCUGGAUAAUUGGAAAGUCCCUGUGUGUCAACCUCUGUGCUUCGUGGCAAGGUAGACUAGCAAACAUGCCCAACCUUUACUCACAUUCGAGAAAACACUCCCAACAAGAUUGCUUGCUCCAAAAUCGAAGAGGCACCGCCCUCCGAAUCUCGAGAGCCAGACUCCCAACAUGAUUACUUUCUCAAAAAUCGAAGAGACACUGCUCCCCGAAUCUUCGAGAGCCAGACCCCCAGCAUGAUUGCUUUCUCAAAAAUCGACGAGGCAUCGUUCUUCGAAUCAAUCGAAAAGGCGCUCGCUUUCUCAAAAGCUGGGCUGCUCAGAGACCACGAGGCUCGAUCUCAGAAAUCGAAGAGGCACCUACUUUUCUAGCCUUGUCAGCACCUGUCACACGCACACUCAGCUUUGCAGAAAUUAUGGGCAUUCUGUCGAAGACUUCUGGUGAAGUAGAAAGCACAUGAAUCUUACUGUUCAAUCACCCACUUCCCACACGCAACAAUAGCUCAUGGGUACCACAGAUAACUUUGCCAAAGUUCUCUGCCAAAGUUGAGCACGUGAAGCUUGCAGCUCCCACUAAAUCGCUCUGACCAAGAAAGGUAAAAGAAUAGCAAAGAAACAGCACUAACAAAGUUUAGACACAUAAAUUUUGAAGGUCUAGCUACCAUAUUAUUACCCACAAGGGUAAAGGAACAGUACCACUGCUGGAUAAUUGGAAAGUCCCUGUGUGUCAACCUCUGUGCUUCGUGGCAAGGUAGACUAGCAAACAUGCCCAACCUUUACUCACAUUCGAGAAAAACACUCCCAACAAGAUUGCUUGCUCCAAAAUCGAAGAGGCACCGUCCUCCGAAUCUCGAGAGCCAGACUCCCAACAUGACUACUUUCUCAAAAUCGAAGAGAGGGUAAAGGAACAGUACCAUUGCUGGAUAAUUGGAAAGUCCCUGUGUGUCAACCUUUGUGCUUCGUGGCAAGGUAGACUAGCAAACAUGCCCAACCUUUACUCACAUUCGAGACAACACUCCCAAUAAGAUUGCUUGCUCCAAAAUCGAAGAGGCACCGCCCUUCGAAUCUCGAGAGCCAGACUCCCAACAUGAUUACUUCCUCAAAAAUCGAAGAGACACUGCUCUCCGAAUCUCGAGAGCCAGACCCCCAGCAUGAUUGCUUUCUCAAAAAUCGAAGAGGCAUCGUUCUCCGAAUCUCGAGAGCCAGAUACCACAGACCACUUUUUCAAAGUGCUCUGACAGAGUUAAAACAUGUGAAACUGGCAGCUCCCACUACCGUGAUAUGACCAAGCAGGGUAAAGGAAUAGCAUUACUACUUGUUAGGGAGACUCCUAUAUAUGUCGACCUCCAUCCCCAACGAACAGGCAGACCUGCAAAAAUGCUCAACCCUUCAUCAUAUAUGAGAGGGCACUCCCAACGAAACCUUUCGAAAUAUUCAGCUUUCUUUCCCCCCGAUAAUACCUCUGCAAACAAGCUAUACUAGAGCAAGAAUAUCUCAUAUCAUCAGGGUUAAAAGCAAGAGUAUCCCAUAUCAUGCUUUUUCCCUGUCUUUUCCUUUGGCCUUGUUUUUACCUGCAAGACAAGGAGAAAGAGAGCAAUCAGUCAGCACUUGGAAUCAAGCUUCCAGCCAGGAACUGACUGCCUGGAACCGCUUACCUGAUUACUUACCUGGCAUUGCUCUCGAGUACUCAUCUUCAACAUCUUAUGUUUCCAGGGAAGAUUCCGCAUCUGCUUGAGGAACAGAUAGGGCAAGUGCGAAGGAUACAAGGAAGCAUGUGGAGACAAGCGUAACAGCACACGUGCCGAUACAUCCAUUACUCUGUCAAAAGCAAAAGUAUCCCAUAUCAGCAGGGUGGAACGUACUCUAGAUUUGAUGGACUUGUUUUGACCCUCAAAUUCUUCAGUCGGCCUUAUACUCUGGAGGAAACCAGAAAACCCUCCAGCUCAGUUCAAGAAUAAGCCUGUGGAAAGUUACUUCUUCAAAAGCAAAAGUAUCUCAUAUCAUCUCUUCUCAUUUUUCUUCUCUUUAUCCUUCAUGCUGCUGAAAGAUGGGGAGAAGGUGAACAAUCAGUUGGAGCUUUGAUUGCUUACCUUGUCUGUCACCUCUUUCAGCAGACCCCCUAGCUCGGCGACUUGGGGGACUCCUACUACAUGGUUUGUAUCGCGCUUGACCAAGCCUGAAACUACAAGUAAGCUUCAAGUGAAAUUGAUACAUUACCUUGUGCAUCUCCACCAGUUAAAGAUACCACCCCUGGAUGGAGGAAGAGUACUUCCAGAGAAGAUGCCACAUCUACCUAUGAGACAGAUAAGGCAAGUCAAGACGACACCACACUCCGAUACUUAGAAGUUUCGUGAUUACGAGAUCAUUCUCCCACAAUAUUUCCUAAUGUCAUUUGUACUAAAUCAUUCACUUGUACUCACUAAAGGAGAGCUUGAACCUAUGUACUUGUGUAAACCCUUCACAAUUAAUGAGAACUUUUCUAUUCCGUGGACGUAGCCAAUCUGGGUGAACCACGUACAUCUUGUGUUUGCUUUCCUAUCUCUAUCCAUUUAUAUACUUAUCCACACUAAUGACCGGAGCAAUCUAGCGAAGAUCACAAAAAGCGACCGUUUUCGCUACCUAGGAUCUAUCUUGCAAGAGAACGGAGAAUUAGAUGGAGAUCUCAACCAUAGAAUACGAGCUGGAUGGAUGAAGUGUAAGAAUGCAUCCGGCGUGUUGUGUGUGACCGUCGUAGGCCACUGAAGCUCAAGGGAAAAUUUUAUAGGACGGCAAUAAGGCCAGCGAUGUUGUAUGGCACAGAAUGUUGGGCGGUGAAGCAUCAACACGUACACAAAAUGGGGUGUAGCGGAGAUGAGGAUGCUUCGUGGGAUGUGUGGGCACACGAGAAAGGAUAAGAUUGGGAAUGAGGAUAUCCGAGGUAAAGUAGGAGUAGCCGAAAUUGUAGGAAAGAUGAGAGAAAAUCGGCUCCGGUGAUUUGGACAUGUGCAAAGAAGGCCGAAUGACGCUCCGGUUCGAAGAUGUGACUACGGGACAGAGGUUCAGGGCCGAAGGGGUAGAGAAAGACCUAGGAAAUCUUUGGAAGAGACUCUAAGAAAAGACUUAGAGUACUUGGAUCUAACGGAGGAUAUGACACAAAACCGAGCGCAAUGGCGUUCUAGGAUUCAUAUAGCCGACCCCACUUAGUGGGAAAAGGCUUUGUUGUUGUUGUUGUUGAACCAUACAUAUUAUUUCUCAUCCAUGAAAUCAACAUUUUAACGUUCUAUUCCUAUGCUUGUAACCUUCAUUCUCCAUCCUUUAAUAAACCAACCCAAAGUUAAUGGUUUUUCAACUUAAAACACCACCUCUUCACUCAUGCCACUACCCCUUUUGACAUGUAUAUGCGGCAAUAUAUAUAUAUAUAUAUUAAUUAAGAGAAACUAGAUCGUUUACUAAUAACUUGAAUAUAACUACUAGUAAACAAUCUAAACUCUUAAACCCCAACUAAACACACUCAAAUAAGCACAAGAUUAACAAGGAUGUCAUUUCAACUAUAAUUCCCUUCUAGGUCUAGAUGCUUGGUAACGAAAGAAGUAUCUCAUAAAUCUAAUGUCACAUAUCGGAAAAUUCGACUUUUUCCAAAAAUUCUCAAAUUUUACAAGAAUGAAGGUCUCAACAAGUAGAGUAAAUUUUAUAUUUGUGGCCAAGUCCAAUUUGACCGGGAAGGCUCUCAAAUUGGCUCGUAUCCAUCGAAAACCCUAAGGUGGGUGUUCUUCAAUUCGGCUUCCUUGGUGUUCCAAUGCCCCUACAACUAAUUGGGUCUUGUUCUUGGGUCCAAGAGAAGUUGAUCAAGGGUGAUGUGAAUGGUGAUACUCUCCAGAAUGACAAUUCGUCGUCGAGAACCCCCGGGUUCUCCUAUGGAGUUCUACAUGAAAUAGACCUUAAAAACCCUUGAUAUUUGGUGGAGGUGGAAGGAGGAAUGUAGUUGAGCAGGUUGCAGGUGAAGGAGAUAAGAAAAUCAGUUGAGAAAUGGUAGAAAUUUGCAUGAAGUUGGCCGGAUCAAAACCAUUUUUUUUUUUGUGGUGCACGGGUUCACCAAAUGGGGGGGACUCCUUUCCCUCCUUUUCUUUCUUCACUCGCCACUCCCGUGGCUUUAUCUUUUUUUUUUUUUUUUAAGCAACACAACUUCAAACUUCCGUAAUUAUACCGUUAUAAUCCGGACUCGCAAAUGGUUUUCGCCUAUGCUUUCGUGACUUCAAGACCUAUUCGAAAACGUUACUUGUGACCUCGAAAGGUCAACGAGUAAAUAAUAAUUCCAAACUUCACUCUUCGUAACUAGAUUAAUUGAAAUCUAAUUUCAAAUAAAUUAAUAUAAAUUCUCAAAAAGUAAUAUAAAUCUCAAUAAUACAAUUACGUAGAUUAUAACAGUGAAAUCCAGAAACGGGAUUUCACACACCCUUAUGGUACGCGCUCAUAGUUCACUUUUUUUAUUUCUGAAGGUAAACAAUGUUCCCAUCCUACAGAAUUUACUCCUGUUUUCUUCACCUUAAAUUGAUGAUCAUCCUCUGUUCCAAAAAAUUCUGCAUGCACACGAACCUUGUCGCCACUUUUCAGAUUGAGCUUCCUGUUUGAAAGACUUCCCAGCCAAAGAUAAUCUUCAUGGGAGCCAGUUAUGGUGGCAUCCAUUCACCAGAUGGAAAAAUAAGUUCGCUGGGAAGGAUUAACCACAUCAAUCCAUAAAGACCCACUACACUGCGAUGGUCCAAAGAAUAAACGAUGCACACAGCCAACCCUCCUAUAUAAUCAAUACUUGGCGGCACAUCAAAUUUGACAUUUUCAUCCUCUGUCACGACAUAGGUUAACCAUUAAGGAAUAACAUUUCAAGAGCGACCGAUUCCUCCAAAUACAUCCCCCACGUUCCAUUUCUACAACGCGGCGUGCAAAGUUUGUAUAAGCAACAAUACGAGAAGGGCACAGAGAGAGAGAGAGAGAUCGAGGCUAUCAUGCAACAAAAUAUAAAACUCAUCUAGGACAAUUAUGACUAUUGUGAAUUGGUAAUAUUAUCGAUGGAUAUGUUAUAUGAUCUUCAAACUCGCUAUAGCAUGAUUUUUUUUUUUUGUAUCCUUUUCGUCAACUUCAUCUGUUUUUCUAUUAAGUAGAGAUGAUAAACUUAAAAUUCAUCCCACAACCUAAAAAAUGGAAAAAAGAAAAAAGAAAAAAAGGAGGUGGAUGUACAAAAUCCUUGCUAUGCCCUCUAUAUUUAACAAAAAAAUAAAUUGAGUUAACGGAUAUAAUUGAAGUACCACAUGAGAUUGAGUUUGAGAACCACAAUAAGAAAAUAAGAAAAACUAUUCUAGAAUGAAGGUAAAAUUCGUGACAACAAUGCCGUAUAUCUAAAAAAUAGUUCAUGCAUAUUUAGAUGUUAACACAUAGUCAUUUAUCUCGUUUAUUGAACAAACAACGAGGACAACAAUGUUGUUUUCUCUCUUUUGAAAUUCAUAAACAAAAUUGAGAUUUCUUGGUGACUCCUCUGUCCCUCAGGACCAACAAGGGGUAAUACAGGAAUAUUCACCUGUUGUCCAUUGACUAUGCCUUUUGGCCUGAUCUUAGGCCCCGACUCACUCUCCGUGGACAAACCUUGCGAAGGAACCUUUAGGUUUUCGGGGCAUCGGAUUUUCACCAAUGUUUGCGUUACUCAUGCCGACAUUCUCGCUUCCGCUCCGUCCACGUCUAAUUGCCAUUUUGUUUGGGCUUCUCCUUUCUGUUCUUACCGUCUCUUCCAUUUGGAAGCUUCUGGUCAUUAAUUUUUUUAGCUUCAUUAGAAGAUGCUCCCAUUUGGCCCCUGUAAGGAAUGAAAUUGAAUUUCGUGUUCAGCUAUUUAAAGAUUCAACUCUAAGUUUUGUCAAUAGCAAUUAAGUAAGAACAGGUAUGAUCAAGCUUAUAAACAAAUCACAACAACAUUACAAAUCAGAAACAUGUACAAGGUAAUGCAGUUAUAUCCAAUUCUUUUGUGCUUUCUCCACAAAAGUUCCUCCACAUUAACGUAACUCUAUAUCAAUUAAUCUAUCAUACAAGACUAGAAAUAAUCGGCAAUUGAAAAAUAAGACAACACGAGCUUCCGUCCAGUAAAAUUUUCAUCCAAAGACAGUAGGCAAAACCAAAAACGUACAAACCUUCAAUGCCGUUGUAUAAUCUCUCCCUUCCCAAUAUGCUCAUCAAGCAAUUCCGGCACAUUACCAGGAGUGGCGAAGGGAUACCUGCAAUUAAUAAUACAUAAUAUUCAUACUCCUUCAUCGAUCCCAAUACGAUAAAUUUUAAAUUGUUAUGAUCCAGAUAUUACCAAUGAUCUGUUAUGCUUCCAUCUGAACCUAGGUUGUAGAUAUCCAAGUUUCCAGCAUACUUGUGGCCUCCAAUGUGAAAGCAAGCAGUAACGAAUACCUGAUCCGUCAAUCCUCGCAGCUCAGCCUCCUGUUUGAACUUAUCAAUGAGAGUACGUGCAUGAUAACGAUCCCAUUUAUCUUGACUCAUACGUGCGCAUAUAAAUACAUAGGGGCCAGUCAGCGGCUCUUGCACUCCAGAAGCCCAUGGUUUGUGAUUCAUAAGGACAUCAUCAACAAAGCUGUCCACAUCCGACUCUUUCAAGCCCCUUUGAUCAACAAACAAAAACAACCUCAAAAUCACAAGAAAGGAUUUACAGGCAAGCAAUUAGUCGUAAACGGAGCCAUUAAAUUCAAUUUCUACAACUAAUUUCAGAAGCUAACACAUAUCUAAUUAUCCAUUUAGGUCAGUAAAUUCAUGUUGGUUAUGGAAUGGGCCCUCGAUUAUGAAUUAAUUACGGUUUGCCAUUGUGUGUGCUAGUGUGGCCCAUGCUUAACAGCUGGGUUGGGCUGCUGCAUUUAGGUGUGUGUUUGCUAGCUGGCUGGCUGGUGGGUGAGUCUUAGAUACAAACCCAAUCUUAUUAAUUAAAUUUGGCCUUUGGUGUGCUCAAACUGCUAUGGGGGAUGGUUAGAAUUUUGAGCCCGGGAUGCAGUAGGACCAAGAGCAAUCCACCACUUGCAGAAUUGUUGUCAAAGUAACUCUGCUAAAAAUAUGAGCUAUACUUCCUGCACUAUGCUUUUACUGUGAAGUGGAAAUAGUCUUUAGAGAGGCUUAUUUGGGAUAAUUGAUAAAGAGGUUUGUGUUUAAGACUUGAGAGUAGUGCGGUGUCUUUCUUGCUGGUUCUGCUCACACCACCUCAUCUAGCCAUUGUGAUGGAGUACACGGCUGGGUGAGAACACUUGGAGAGAAUAUGCAGUGCUGGCAGAUUUAGUGAGGAUGAGAUAAAGUAGUUUCCAACGCAGAGAAAAUUUCAUUGGAAAUGAUUUUAGUGUAGAGUCUCAAAUAUGGGAUCUCUGAAUGUCCCCUGAAAUGGAAUCCAUCUCAAUUUUCGUUUAGUUUCAGAUAGGGAAAGUUAGGUCUGAAGCAUUUUUACAUAAAUAGUCAGUCAUAAUAUAACUAAAACUUACUUUUUCGAUUUAAUUGUUGUUUUGCAUCAAGCAAGGUUUUUCUUCCAGCAAUUAUAUCAGGAGUUAGCUACUGUCAUUUAAUGGUAUGUAAUGUGGCACUUUUUUGCUAAUGCGUUGUAUACUGUUAUUUCUUUCUCUUUUGAUAUUGGAAGUGUUGGUUGUAUUAAUGAAAUAAUUCGUUUCAAUAGUAUAUGACUUAGUUUUAAUAGUAUUAUUCAGUUUUCUAAUAGCACUCGGGUGGGAACGUGGGUCGGCUCAUGUUUUAGUCUCUCCAUCGUAAGCAAUUUUACAUGGCAUUCUUCAAUGUGGCUAUAGGUAAGACAACACUCUCAGUAUUCCAUAAUCAAACCACCAUUUGAACUUUUUUCGUCCACCAAGUUAAGCUUUUAUGUGCCAUCUUGAAUAGUUAUAAGUUAUUGAUUCAGAUUGCUCCAGUGAGACAUUGUUGUUCUAUUGCUUACCUCUCAAGCUUGCUUAAUAUACUUAUUCUUAUUACUGUUGUAUUGUUAAGAAAUACUCAACUGCGAUUUCAGUUCAUUGUUAUGAAUCAGAUUCAAAUUAACCACUCACUAGUUAAUUAUCUAAAUCCUAUAAAUUUGGAUUAAAAUUAAAGCAACUCCAGAACAAAAACCUCAAGAAAUCGAUGCGAAUUUACCUGUAUUUGAUCAUUUGUGGGAAAAUCAACACAUCGCCGUCGGAAAACUCAGUUCCUUCAUGUCCUUCAAUUACAGUCAUCGACGUCUAUCAAAAAACCAAGAAAAAAAGUAAGUAACGGAGUCAGCUCAGCUCAACACCAGAACUCAGUAGCUCCAGGAAAUAAGAAACGUCAGAAACACCAACGAAUUGGGUUGGAAAACGGACCUUAAAGGUGAUGUCGUUCUUGCGAGCUUUGAGAGCGGAAGUGAAGAACUUAGGGAGUGGAUCGGACUUAGAGCCGUUGAUGCACCACGGCCAGGCCUCGGGGGUCUUGUAGCAGAAGAAAACGUGGCGAAUGUCCAACUGUGUAUCGUCAUCAGUGUCUUCAUCAGACAAAUCCCAUUUUACCAUAUCCACUCCUGUUUUGUUCUCCUUAAUUCUAUUAUCUCCUCCAUAAAAUUCCGCUUUUAGAAGAACCAUGUCACCGCCUUUCAGAUUGAGCUUCUUGUUUGAAAGAUUUCCCAACCAAAGAUAAUAUUCAUGGGAAGCAGUUACGGUGGCCUUCAUUGGCCAGAUGCGAAACUUAGUUCGCUGGGUACAAUUAACAACAUCAAUGCAUAGAGACCCGGUAGAGUCGGAGUUGUCUAAAGAAUAAACGAUGCCCAAAGCCAACCCUCCUAUAUAAUCAAUACUUGGCGGCACUUGAAAUUUGACAGUUUUAUCCUCUCCCGUGACAUAGGCUAACCAGUUAGGAAUAUCAUUUCCGGAGAGAAAAAUUCCACCAAAUGCAUUUCUCUACAACAUGGGGUGCAAAGUCAGUAUAAGCAACAAUACAGAGAGAGAGAGAGAGAGAGAGAGAGAGAGAGAGAGAGAUACCCUUCGGAGGUUCUCCUUAAAAGUAUCAGUGAGACUGGUACACCCUUCCAUAAGAAUUGAAUACAUGUGGUCCAAUGAGUUCUCCAAGUUUGGAAUAUCUUUGAGUUUGCGGCAGUUCGGCAAAUCUGACAUUGUUUUACCUAUAUUGCCCAUACCCCUAAUUCCAAUUAUUUGAACAUCAGGUGAACGUCCAACAUCUAAGUAUUCAGUACUGACGUCUAAGUAUUCAGUACUGAAGUUCUGCACACGAGAAGUCAUUCCAUCUGAGUGCUUGGCUUCUUUUAAGUCUGCAGUUUUCAAUAGUUCCUUGAUGUUCCCAACAAUUUUCUCGAUAAACACUCCUUCACGCCUACGAGUAGGAAUUCCAAAUUACGUGAGCCAUACUAAAUGCCUUAUUCAUAAUGACUAGAUAUUUACAUAUUGAAACAGAUUUGAAUAAACUGGAUUAAUUGAGCUCAAUUCAACCACGUAUCUAAUCUUCGAUUAUAAUGUAAAUACAUCAGAUCAUUGGUCAUCGGACUAUUACACAAUUGUAGCCUUCAGAUUUAUAAUUAAGAAUCCAUAACAAUUGGUAUUUUAAUUUGAUAAAGUGGAGCAUUUGUCCUUCACACACCCAUAAAAAACAAAGCACGACCCUACAUUUCACUUCCUUAAUUUCAAUGAAAAUUCUUAUGAAAAUGCUCUACCUUUUAUAAAAUUCAUAUACCAAUUAUAAUAAAUUUUUAUGUAGGGACCAAAAUUACAGUUCUAUCAUUGUUCAGGAUCAACGAUCCAAUUUUUCUUCUAACAUAUAAACUCAGAUCCAAUGCCUUAAUUAUAAAAUCUUAAUUUUGGUUGAUUAGUGAAAUAUGGUGAUACGAAAUUUGAAGUAAACAAAAAAGUAUACCCGUCGGCCGUGGUUUUGAGGUUCCAGCCAACCAAAUCUGCAGAAGCCUUAAGAUCCUCUCUCCACUGCUUGACCUCGUUUGGAUCUUCAUCCCAUUCAUGCUUCUGAAAUGCUUUCCCAAAACUAUCAUUCUGUUUCCUGACUUGAGAAGGGUCAACGUCGUAGAAUAUUGGACAUACUAUUUUCCCCUCUUGAUCUUUUAGGCACCUCAUGAUCUUCGACAGCUCCCUCAGGCACCAUCGGGACUCCGCGUACCUCUUCGAGAAGAUGAUGACGGCGAUUCUCGACCCUUCGAUUUCUUGGUCAAGUUCACUCUGUAUGUUUCCCCCCCUUGUGAGCUGGUAGUCUAUGGAAGUGUUGAUUCCGGCAUUGCGUAACGCAAUGAAGAGGUGGUCUGUGAAGGUAGUGCGCGUGUCGUCGCCUCUAAAGCUCAGGAACACCUCGUACUUCCACCGGUUUGAGCUCUGCGAGGAAGACGAAGAGGCUGCAACGCCGGCUCCAUGGGCGGAGCUGCUGGUAUCCAUUGUAGCCUGUAGAAGUGCAGCUUGGCUUUCAAAUAACCAAAGUCAAGUCUUUCCCAAGAUUCCCCGGUGUAGGCAGCCCUUUUAAAUUUUUUUGCAUGGGUCAAUGAUGUCACUGCCGUGUCGAUAACGUGUGAGUGCUAUUCCUCCGACAAUUUAAUUUGUAUAAAUGUCACCAUCAAAUUUUAAUAAAAAUUGUAUAACUGCUACGAUGCAAUUUCCUUUCUUCUGUAGUUUUUUUGAGAAAUCUGCUGCCCAAUUUUGACCAGUUGACGUGCGCAGGUCAAUCCAACUGUCCCUGCUGGUGGACGGAAGAAUCUUUGUUAGAGUAGGAAUUCCAAAUUACGCUUUAUUCAUAAUGACUAGAUAUUUACAUAUUGAAACAGAUUUGAAUAAAUUGGAUUAAUUGAGCUCAAUUCAACCAUGUAUCUAAUCUUCGAUUAUAAUGUGAAUACAUCAGAUCAUUGGUCAUCGGACUAUUACACAAUUGUAGCCUUCAGAUUUAUAAUUAAGAAUCCAUAACAAUUGGUAUUUUAAUUUGAUAAAGUGGAGCAUUUGUCCUUCACACACCCAUAAAAAACAAAACACGUACCCUACGUUUCACUUCCUUAAUUUCGAUGAAAAUUCUUAUGAUGUGACUGCCGUGUUGAUGAAAAUUCUUAUGAUGUGACUGUCGUGUCGAUAACGCGCGAGUGCUAUUCCUCCCACAAUUUAAUUUGUAUAAAUGUCACCAUCAAAUUUUAAUAAAAAAUUGUAUAUAACUGCUACGAUGCAAUUUCCUUUCUUUUGUGAGAAAUCUGCUGCCCAAUUUUGGCCAGUUGACGUGCGCAGGUCAAUCCAACUGUCCCUGCUGGUGUACGGAAGAAUCUUUGUCGGAGUAGGAAUUCCAAAUUACGUGAGCCAUACUAAAUGCUUUAUUCAUAAUGACUAGAUAUUUACAUAUUGAAACAGAUUUGAAUAAAUUGGAUUAAUUGAGCUCAAUUCAACCAUGUAUCUAAUCUUCGAUUAUAAUGUGAAUACAUCAGAUCAUUGGUCAUCGGACUAUUACACAAUUGUAGCCUUCAGAUUUAUAAUUAAGAAUCCAUAACAAUUGGUAUUUUAAUUUGAUAAAGUGGAGCAUUUGUCCUUCACACACCCAUAAAAAACAAAGCACGUACCCUACGUUUCACUUCCUUAAUUUCGAUGAAAAUUCUUAUGAUGUGACUGCCGUGUCGAUGAAAAUUCUUAUGAUGUGACUACCGUGUCGAUAAAGCGCGAGUGCUAUUCCUCCCACAAUUUAAUUUGUAUAAAUGUCACCAUCAAAUUUUAAUAAAAAUUGUAUAACUGCUACGAUGCAAUUUCCUUUCUUUUGUGAGAAAUCUGCUGCCCAAUUUUGGCCAGUUGACGUGCGCAGGUCAAUCCAACUGUCCCUGCUGGUGGACGGAAGAAUCUUUGUCGGAGUAGGAAUUCCAAAUUACGUGAGCCAUACUAAAUGCUUUAUUCAUAAUGACUAGAUAUUUACAUAUUGAAACAGAUUUGAAUAAAUUGGAUUAAUUGAGCUCAAUUCAACCACGUAUCUAAUAUUCGAUUAUAAUGUGAAUACAUCAGAUCAUUGGUCAUCGGACUAUUACACAAUUGUAGCCUUCAGAUUUAUAAUUAAGAAUCCAUAACAAUUGGUAUUUUAAUUUGAUAAAGUGGAGCAUUUGUCCUUCACACACCCAUAAAAAACAAAGCACGUAUCCUACGUUUCACUUCCUUAAUUUCGAUGAAAAUUCUUAUGAUGUGACUGCCGUGUCGAUAACGCGCGAGUGCUAUUCCUCCCACAAUUUAAUUUGUAUAAAUGUCACCAUCAAAUUUUAAUAAAAAUUGUAUAACUGCUACGAUGCAAUUUCCUUUCUUUUGUGAGAAAUCUGCUGCCCAAUUUUGGCCAGUUGACGUGCGCAGGUCAAUCCAACUGUCCCUGCUGGUGGACGGAAGAAUCUUCGUUGGAGUAUCAAUGGGAAGAGACCUCAUCUCCAACAACCUAUCUUAACAAAAGAUGCAGAAAAUUAAACGCCAAGAGGCUACUUUCUUUAUUUUGUGAACAGUAACGAACUAGAAGGAUCAGUGUCGUAAAAUAAGUAAUUUACUUGCCCAAAAUAAGAAUCAAUUUAGCUACGAAACCAAGGAGAUGAUUGAGCUCAAGAUAGCAGCUUUUAUCCUAUCGUCUUGCAAGGAAAACAAGCUACGAAUUGCUUGCAUCAUCCGAAGCUAUCCAACCAAUGGUUGAAUUUCUCAGUCAAGACUAUGCUGAAGGCAUCAGUGUGCAGGCCAGACUCGAUAGCAUAGCCACACUAAACCUCUCGCGCUGCCAUCAGAUUAUUUUGUCUCAGGUCUCUUCGGGCGUAGUGUUCUCAGUAAUAAUCCAAGGCUUGGAAAAAUCAAGCCAACCGGUUGAGAAGGCAAUUGUGCUACUUGACGACAUUGUUUCUUCAUCGAAGACUGCGCUCAAGGAAACUGCAGGUACGUGCAGCACAAUCUGGGUGCUGGUUGAGACAAUCGAAGGGGGAUCGAUGAAAUGCAAGGAGCACGCAGCGAGUAUACUCCUGCUUAUAUGCAAGAGGUGCAGAGAGAACUACAGAGGACUGAUACUGAGAGGAGGAGCAAUGCCCGGACUGCUUCAGCUGAGUGGAUGGGACGCGCACGGCUAACACUGCGGCAUGGAAGUUGCUGUUUCUUUUGACUGUUCCAAUUAUGGUUCGAGAAACAAGCAAUCAAGGAAUAAGUUGACGGUGUGAGUACAACGGCAUUGAGACCGUUCCAAUUAUGCAGGAAAUUGAUGCAGAAGGAGAAAAAGUUGACAGGGUGAGUACAACGGCAUUGAGGCUGGUGGAGGACAUGCUUGCAGAGAUCAGCAGUGGACGAUGAUCUCGACCAAAUUCUGAGCUUUACCAAGAAGAUUAAAAUGUUGGAACAGCCGUUUAUCUCGUUUAUUGAACAAACGAUGAGGACAACAAUGCCGUCUAGCCUCUUUCAAAAUUUAGACUUCUUUCUCAUAAAAAUUGACAGAAUCUACGGUUGAAUUAAAGUCCAACAGGCAAAUUGAAAACAAUCACAAGAGCUUAGAAAAUACCACACCAACAUUUGGCCAGCAGUCUCACAACAAAUCCCACUGUCAAGAUAAAACCAUUCAACAGUGUAUUGGAACAACAAAUUUCAGUUGUGUAAGCAAUCAACAUAAAGGAACACUGAAUACUUUUGUAACUAUAUAUGGAUUAGCUUCGGGAAUUCAUCAAACCCUCCAAAAAAGAACGUAUAGUGUAGCUACCAUAUUCUCCUUUCAUAUAAGAGCUUAUUUAAUUAAUGUUAUAACACCUUUCUACCAAGAAAAAAAAGAAGAAAAUACGGCCUCUACACCCGUGGCAAAACCCGACAUGGAUUAGAGUACGUUUCAGCCUAACCUUCUGUAAAAGCUAUAGGCCACAGCCACUGUUACCACUGCUCCAACCACGGCAGCAGCUGCGAGAACAUCGCUUUGCUCCCAGUUCCCGAUCAAGCUUGACAGCUUCCCUAGGGAAUCCUUCCUGGCACAAGACUCUCUGGUUUCUUUCACCUUCUUUUCCUCACUUCCAUCGUUCUGCUCUAAACUUACUUCUUUGCAGCAUGUAAAUCCUUUACUAUUUGCACCCUGGCAACAGCCUGAAAGGUUCUCAUUAUUCUGAAUCUGAUUGCCGUUUUCUUGGGGCUUCUCCUCGAUUUUCUUUCUCCUCCAUUUGGAAGCUUCUGGUCAUUAAUUUUUUCAGCUUCAUCCGAAGAUGCUCCCAUUUUGCCCCUGUAAGGAAUGAAAUUGAAUUUCAAGUUCAGCCAUAUAAAGAUUCAACUCUAUGUUUCAUCAAUAGCAAUCGAGUAAGGACAUGUAUGAUCAAGCUUAAUAAACAAUUUGACAACAGUGCCUACUUGACCCCGGCCCCCCUUCCCCAAAACCACCUUUGGUUUGGUUUAUCUAUAAAAACAAAAAAAGUAGUUUGAUUUGGUUCACACGAGUUGUUUGAUUUGGUCCCUCAAUGUUAAUGUAACUCCAUAUCAAUAAUCUAUCAUACAACACUAUAAGUAAUCAGCAAUAGGAAAAUAUGACAACAGAAGCUUCAGUUCCAGUGAACUUUUCAUCAGCAGACAGUAGGCAAACCUGAAAACACACAAACCUCCAAAGUCGUUCUAUGAUCUAUCCCUUCCCAAUAUGCUGAUCAAGCAAUUCCGGCACAUCCUCAGUAGUGACGUAGCCAUACCUGCAAUUAUUAAUACCAUAAUAUUCAAAUUCCUUCAUCUAUCCCAAUACAAUAAAUUUUAAAUUGUUAUGAUCCGGAUAUUACCAAUGGCCUGUUAUGCUUCCAUCUGAACGUGGGCUGUAGACAAUCAAGUUUCCAGCAUACUUGUGGUCUCCAAUGUGAGAGCAAGCAGUAACAAAUACCUGAUUUGUUAAUCGUCGCAGCUCAGCCUCCUCUUUGAACUUAUCAAUGAGGACAGGUCGACAAACUCCACAUCUUUUAUCUCGACUACCAUGUGCACAUACAAAUACAUGGGAGCCAGUCAACGCCUCUUGCACUCCGGAAGCCCAUGGUUUGUCAUUCACAAGGACAUCAUCAACAAAGCUUUCCACAUCCGACUCUUUCAGGCCCCUUUGAUCAAGAAACAACAAACACCUCAGAAUCACAAAAGGAAUUUACAGGAAACAAUAACCUAACACUCUUUAAUUCCUUGUAAGGCAAGGGAUUAGUCGUAAACUGAGCCAUUAAAUUCAAUUUCUAGAACUAAUUUCAGAAGCUAACACAUAUCUAAUUAUCUAUUUAGUUCAGUAAACUCAGCACAAUCUCGUAAUCAAAAUAGAAGUUGAAACAGAAAUAAAACACUAAAUGCGGUCACAACUUGCAUUCAAUCAAUUUCCAUGAAAAUCACGAGAAAUUUUUCUUUGUGCCGGGAACAUGGCCCGAUACACAAAGUGUAAUAAUACAAUUGGUUGGAAACCACGCCGUGUUACCGGCACCCAACCUCUGAGUAAACAAGGAAAAUUUCAAGGUAUCAACACCAAAACUAGUCCAAAACACACUAAAUUAGCUCAAUUCGAGACUUCGUAAAUUGAAAUCGGAAAAUCAUAAACUCUAUCUCUAGUUAGCAAUCAUUGAAAUCUCCAAGUCAAAUAAAGCAAAUCUGAAGAAUCAAACACCACUCACUGGUUAAUUAUCUAAAUCCUAUAAAUUUCGGUUAAAAUUAAGCAACUACAGAGCAAAAAUCUCAAGAAAUGAACGUGAAUUCACCUGUAUUUGAUCAUUUGUGGGAAAAUCAACACAUCACCGUCGGAAAACUCAGUUCCUUCGCGUCCUUCAAUUACUGUCAGCAAAGUCUAUCAAAAACCAAGAAACAAAGUGAGUAACGGAGUCAACUCAGCUCAACACCAGAACUCAGUAGCUCCAGGAAAUAAGAAACGGUAAGAAAAAGCGAUCAGCAACGCCGACGAAUUGAGCUGAAAAACGGACCUUAACGGCGAAGUCGUUCUUGCGAGCUUUGAGAGCGGAGGCGAAGAACUUAGGUAGCAGAGGAAGACGUGGCGGUCGUAGGCGUUGACGGUACCGGCAAGUUUUUCCUUGAACAUCUCCUAUCUCUUGAAACCGAAUUUCUCGUCUUCGGCGGCGGUGACGGCGGCAGAGAGGUCGUCGGAGGCCAUUGCCAGGGCUCGGAGAGGAGGAAUGAGGGGUUUAGCGGGGGUUGAAGUUGAAAACGAUGAGAGCGAAAAGAUGAGAGAGAAAGAACAUUGUUGUUUGGAGUUGGUGUGGGUGUAGGUGCGCAAUGCGCAUACGGCGCACGAUAGGGUUUCUGAGGCGAUCUGCAGCCAUAGGACUCGUUGUAGUUCUCUAGCCCUCCAAAAUUCUUCAAGAUAUUAAUAUUUUAAUAAACAAUACAGGAUCAUAUUUGUCUCCGUCUCCAACCGAGGGUCAGAGGGCUAGAGGGCUCGUUUUAGCCUUUUCACAAAAAAUCAUCUCCAACCGAGGGCCAAAGAGCAAUAGGGCCAAACAUAAUUUAUUAUUUAAAAACUACAACUUAAAUAGACAUAAAAAGGUUUUAUGUUUUUAAAUAUUUUUAAAAAUGUUGUUUAAGUUUCAUGUUGUAUAAUUUUUAUGUUGGUUAAUGUUAUUUAAUGUUGUUUCAUAUUGUUUAAUGUUGUUUCAUGUUACUUAAUUUAAUUUAAUGUUGUAUAAUGGCUUAGGAAGUUAUAGGAAAAAAAAUAGAAUUUAAAAAAAAUAUGAAACAAAUUUUGUGAAAUAGAAGUUAUAGGAAAAAUGGAAUUUAAAAAAAUAUGAAACAAAUUUUGUGAAAUAGAAGUUAUAGGAAAAAAAUGGAAUUUUAAAAAAAAAUAUGAAACAAAUUUUGUGAAAUAGAAGUUAUAAGAAAAAAAUGGAAUUUAAAAAAAAUAUGAAACAAAUUUUGUGAAAUAGAAGUUAUAAGAAAAAAAUGGAAUUUAAAAAAAAUAUGAAACAAAUUUUGUGAAAUAGAAGUUAUAGGAAAAAAAUAUGAAAUAUAUUUUGUGAAAUAGAAGUUAUAGGAAAAAAUAGAAGUUAUAUGAAUGUAAAAAAAUAAUAAUAAUAAAAUUGUAAAAAAAAAAAAUCAAAUGCAACGGCUACUAGCCGUUGCAUUUGAAUUUUUUCUUAAGAAAUCAUGUCGGUUAUAACCGACAGAAAUACAUGCUAUUAUUUAAUAUAAUGUAUUACUAUCGGUUAUACAUGCUAUUAUUUAGUAUAAAUGUAUUAAUGUCGGGCUGGCUAGCUGCAUGCAGCCCUCCAGCCCUCUCCGAUUUCAUGGGACCCUUCCAGAUUCCAGAGCUCUCUGGCCUAGCCCUCUGUUGGAGACGAUUUUCGGGCUAUUUUCGACUCUCUGACCCUCUGGAUCCUUCGGUUGGAGAUGGCCUGAAGGUCAGAGUGGGGACGUGUGGGGUUUGAUUUGUAGUUCAUGUAUUUACCCCUUUUGAUAUCUCUGAUCAUAUUGGACGGAAGCUAAAAGAUAAUUCAUGCACGCAAAAAUGGAAGGCCCUACAAACGGAGGAGGACAAUGUCUGCACGGAAAAUCAUCCUCUCUGAAUUUCUUUCUCCUAAUCUAACAAGUUCGGGAUCUGAAUCGUUAAAAUUUGAUCCAACAAUUAAGGUUAUUAUAACUUUUAAAGUGGACUUCUGUUUGUAGUCGUUGAAUCAAAUUUUAACGGUCUGGAUCCCCGAACUUGAUGGAUUAGAAAGAAGAGAUCCUUUCCUAUCUGCACCCAGGAAGUGGGUACAAGCGCGUGGGAUUUAAUUUUGUGAUUCAUUGCUGCCUGAGGAUUUUUUGGCGGUAGGUUGGAGGGAACCGACUGAGAGCAAAAUUGUAAAAUCCCCUAAACUCGGUGACGUGGCAACCUGUAAUUCUGAAAGGGUUCCGGAUCCUUUCGUUCUAAUAUAUCAAGUUCGGUGAUCAAGACCAUUGAAAUUUAAUCAAACAACUACAAAGAGGGACUCGCUUUAAAAGUUAUAAUGACUUUAACCGUUAGAUUAAAUUUCAAUGAUUAGAUUAAGAAAAAAAAAGAUCCGAAGAUAGAUCUAUUUUCAUGUAAUUCGGCCUUUACAUUCUGUCAAGAAACAGGCCGGUCACUUCGUUGAUUAAGUCAAGCCGUAAGCCUUGGUCCAACGUGGACAACUUCUAGAUGUCUUGUUUCUUUCAUUAAUUUAUUUCUUGAGAAUGACUUUUAAUAUUUGAUUUAAUUUUUUUGGUUAAUUAUUGAAUUUAAUUUGUCAAUGGCUCAAUUUUGGGGUGGGAUCAAAAAACCGAAAACCAAACUGAACCGAAACCGAAAAAAUCGAACCGAACGAAAAAACCGAACCGAAUUGAAAAAACCAAACCGAACCGAACUCUUUUGGUUCGGUUCGGUUUUGGUGGUCUAGAAAUCGAACCAAACCGAACAGAACCGAAAUAAUUAAAUUAAUAUUUUUUUAAUUUUAUUUCUUUAAUUAUUUGAUUUUAUUAUAUUAGAAUAUGAUACUUCAUACUGCUGCUUUGGUAGGAUUUGUUUGCUUUCCAAUUCAAAUUGUCUUCUCAGCUUCUCCAUCUACAACAAAAAUUAGAACUUAUACCAUUACAUGCAAUAUUUCUAGUUUAUAUCAUUAAGUGCAACACAUAUAUAAGAACACAUAUCUCAACUGCACUGCAGUUGAUUAGGAAAAGCAAACAGCGUAUAAAAGUCUCAUGAGUUUAUUAAACACUACGAGAUCAAAAACAAAAUUCAAACUUUCUCACCUAUGGCCAAGUAUAGUAGCUUCCGCGGCCUAACAAUUUUGAAAAGUAUAUCAAUAUAUUCAAAAAUAUUGAUGAACACCUCUUCAAAAUUUGCUGGUGGUAGAAGCUGAACACAGAAUGUAGAAAUUAUAUUAUGUCACCACAUUUAUGGAUAAAAAAAAUUUGGAUCAUAAAGAUAAAGAAAAUAUCAAAAAUUGUUACCUAGACAAUAAUCAAAAUAAAUAGUAUAUUAUAGAAUGUUUAUCUUAUUGCUAGUGAAGAAUACAUGUGUGUGUGUGUGUGUGUGUGUGUGUGUAUAUAUAUAUAUAUAUAUAUAUAUAUAUAGAGAGAGAGAGAGAGAGAGAGAGAGAGAGAGAGAGAUUGAGAGAAAGAGAGAAAUGAAUAAGGUCGUACUCCAUCAUCAUCGUCUAAAAAGAAAUCUAUUUACAGUUAAACUUUAAACCCAAAAUAUUAAAAAAAACCUUUAUGUUAUAAUUCUAUUUGAACUUUAAAUGUUUAUUUUCAUUAUCUUUUAAGUCUAGCCGGAAUGUUUAUGUUAUGAUUGUGUUGGAUAUGUUAAAAUUUAAGAUUUCAAAUUUUUUCAUUUUUUGAAAAAAAAUCGAAACCGAACCGGAAAAAACCAAACCGAUUUGAACCGAACCCACCCCUAGCUCAAUUUGCCAAUUUGUCAAUGAUACAAUUUAGGAUGGUGCUAUUCACUCAACUAUUUUUACUUCUCGAGUAUCUUCUUUAAUUUAUUUGAUUUAACAGCUAAACAUUGAGAGGGGUGUGUGAAACGUAAAAUAGUUUUUUAAUAGCACACCCCUACAAUUUAAAUACAAAGGAGUGUAGAUUUCAAACAACGAUUGAAUUUUAAGAUGACGCAUUUUGUUGAUUUUUCACAUUUAAGUUUGAAAUGAGCCGUUUUCGUAAUCUAUUAUAUUUAUUCUUGUGAUGCGUGUUUCAGUUGAAAAAACUAUCGUUUUCCAAAAAAAAAUAAUAAUAAAGAAAUGUAGGGUAAGGAUAGCAUUUAAAUAUUUAUGUUGAGAGUAAGGAAAAGAUAGAGAUGUGUAAAAUUCAUUUCCAUUCAUACAUUUUCGUGUUGUUUAUGUUGGUCUUUCAAUUAUUUAUGUUGAGAGUAAGGGAAUAAUUUGUACUAGGCAGUGUCAAAUUACAACCCUAAUUGAAAAACAUCUUGUUCGCCUGACCUAUGAAGGCCUACAGUGGAUACCUAGGCAUCCAGAGACGAGGAAGGGCAUAGUAAGCGAUGAAAUGCUUCAGAGAGUUGAAAAAUAAGCGUGGAUCCAAAUAUUCCGAAAUAUUUGACUGUUUCGAGCAAUAUGUAGGCCAAAAGACGGACGAUACAUAAACAGAUUAUUCGAAGUAGGGAUUCAUAAACAUCAAGUAUACAUUCUGUUGGAUAGUGGCCAAAUUAGUGGCCAAGUGGCCAAAAGCAUAUAAUAAAAAAUGAAGGAAUAAUGAUGUGGGAACAUCAUUAUGACGAGACAAAUGAUUAUGUUUGUUGAAAAGAAAAAUGAAGGUCAUGAUGAUGUUUGUAAAGGAAUGAUUAUUCAUUUACUUUGGAUUUUUUAUUGGGUGCUUUUGUAUGGAUGAAGGUUGCAGCCGAAUGAGGCCUUUUGGUUAUAUUAAGGCAUUCGAUUAUGCCUUUGGUUGUGUGGUGGAGCAGCAUCAGAUGAGAGCCAUACCAAGGAGAGCGUUCGGCUCUCCUAUUUGAAACAGUGUUGCUCAUUUCCAUUUGUUAGUAAUCCCUCAAUCAAAGAUGUUGCUGCUACAUGUUGUGUAGCUUUUGGGAGAGAUGGUAUUUGAUGUGUGUCCAUCUUCUCCAAUUGUUCUUUGUGAGAGUGAGAGUUAUUAGGUGUAUGUGGGAUUUGGGUUUGAGAGUUAAAACUCUAUUUGUAAUCUCCUUUUGAUAUUAGUGGAAUUUCCUCGCCAUCUCGGAACUGGACGUAGGCUUACUCCGAAUCAGUAUAAAUCCUUGUGUCAUUUGUCGAAAUUGUCUUAUCAUAUUUUGCUGUUGUAGCUUAUUGGUUUCAUAUUUGAUACUUCCGCACAACAAGUGGUAUCAGAGCUCCGGAUUUCGACUUGGGGGCUUUGUACAUGUAUGUCUAUGAAACCUUCGAAUAUGUUGGUGAAAUAUGAUUGAAAAAUUCGACGGGAGGAAUGACUUUGGCAUUUGGUCAAUUGGAGAUACAAGUUUUGCUUGCAUUGUUGCGAAAUGCGUGGCAUUGAAGAAGGAUGGUAAGGGAUCAUGCUGCAAUCCCUGAGCUCGCAGAUUGGAGAAUAGUUCCGAAAACAUCAUAUUUGCUGCAAUGUUGUUGAAGUGUUGGUGUUCGAAGGUUGCAGGUGUAGUGUACUGUUUUGGUAGAUUAUCCGUUGGUCAUCGCUGCAUCGACAGUGUUUGUGGGCUGUUGUCGACAAGUUGAGUGGGAAGGAGAAAAAGUAGAAGCUGUUGAGAAUUGAAAAGAAAAUGUUGGUUCCUUUUCUUUCGGCAUUUGUUUUGGCAGAAGGACAUCAUGAUGACAAAUGAUGUUGUUGGCUGAAAAAAAAAAAAGGUUAAGUUUUCUUCUCUUUGGCAUUUUUUCAACGGUAGAGAAUUUUUUCUUCACUCCCAUUGGUUGCCUUUGGAGCAAGUUGAUGGAAACAUUGGAGGAGUUUGUGAGGGCCAAUUUGUUGAGUUCUGCAAUUUUGGAUAGUGAGGCACCACACUAUUUUGGAUACACCACAUGCAUUGCAGAACAUUUGUGUGGAACCCUCUUGUAGAAGGCAAGUUAUAUGCUUUCUAACUUUGUUUGGUCUAUGGACAUUGGUUGGAUUUGUUUGCCACUGAUAUUUGGUUUGUUGGUCUCUAGCAUCUGGAAUAUGCUUUGUUGAAGACUCAUGUUGAGGUAUGGUUUUGGAUCUCCUACUGAUUAUUUGAAUUUGAAAUAUUUGGUUAUCCUAUUGGUGCUCAUGUGAUGAUGGUAAACUUGAGUGAAGGGCAUAAUAUUGAUAUUCAUAGGAUCUGAAUUUGGGUGAAAGGUUUUGUAUGUGGUAUGUUAAACAUUGUUGCCAAAUUUUGUAAUCAGUUUUGACUUGGAGAAUGUGCCCUGCUAUGUGAAUGAAUCUAUUGGUGCAGUUUAAGACCAUGGUGUUUGUAAGCAGGUGGAGUUCGUUAUGUGUCCAACUUUGGUAUGGUGUGCUUGAUCUUUUGUCGGUGAUAUUAAAGAAUUUCAGUUCUUCGUUUGAAUCACCUUUGUUUUGAUCAAGGCACUUAUGGUUUGCAAAUCUGGAGAAGACGGUAGAGAAAUGGUCUACUUUUGUUGGCUCUGGUACAAUUUGAAUUGAGGUGGAGAUCAUUAUAGUACCGAAAAGUUAGGGGAAUUUGAUUUAGUUCCCGUUGUCUUUAGUUUGUACUUUGGGUGCUUAUGGUGAUUGUUGAUUCGAUUCUCUGUGAUGUUUUCGAAAUUUGGCAAAGGUGGAGAUUGUUGGAUAGUUGCCAAAUUAGUGAAAAAGUUGUCAAAAGCAUAUAAUAAAAAAUGAAGGACAUAAUGAUGUCGGAACAUCAUUAUGAGGAGACAAAUGAUUAUGUUUGUUGAAAAGAAAAAGAAAGGUCAUGAUGAUGUUUGUAAAGGAAUGAUUUACUUUGGAUUUUUUAUUGGGUGCUUUUGUAUGGAUGAAGGUUGCAGCCGAAUGAGCGAGAGAAGGUAGAGCCUUUUGGUUAUAUUAAGGCAUUCGAUUAUGCCUUUGGUUGUGUGGGGAAGCGGCAUCAGAUGAGAGCCAUACCAGGGAGAGCGUUCGGCUCUCUCAUUUGAAACAGUGCUGCUCUUUCCCAUUUGUUAGUAAUCCCUCAAUCAAAGAUGUUGCUGCUACAUGUUGUGUAGCUUUUGGGAGAGAUGAUAUUUGAUGUGUGUCCAUCUUCUCCAAUUGUUCUUUUUGAGAGUGAGAGCUAUUGGGUGUACGUGGGAUUUGAGUUUGAGAGUUAAAACUCUAUUUGUAAUCUCCUUUUAAUAUUAGUGGAAUUUCCUUGCCAUCUCAAAACUGGACGUAAGCUUACGCCAAACCAGAUCCUUGUGUCAUUUGUCGAAUUUGUCUUAUCAUAUUUUGCCGUUGUAGCUUAUUGGUUUCAUAUUCGACGCUUCUGCACAACACAUUCCUCAAAAUUUUCAAUGCAAUUGGAUUUCCUCAAAUCUCAGGAACUACCAGAUUGUAAUGCUUGCAAUGGAAAGGAACCAUUGUGUACAUGUAGUAACCACACGAAUCAGUUGGAGACUUGUUUUUCAUCAGAGGAAAACAAAAGGCUAAGAAUCAAAAGAAAUCAAUCUCUAAAUAAUUACCCGAAGGCUUCAAAUCAACGCCCGGCAUCUUCCCGUUCAUGGGUUCUUUCGGUGUAUCAGGAGUCUCCAAUAUGUAGUGCUUUGGCACCUGGGGUGGAGUUGUACAGCGAAUCAGUGCCCAAUUCACGCUUUGGAAAAACGGAUGUUGUUUAACUUCUGUUGCUCCCCGCCUAUACGCAAGACGAUGCUGUGGCUCCUUGACAAGUAAACCUCUGAUCAAGUCCCUGGCUGCAAAGCUGACAGAAGGCAACUCUGGAAAUCUUAAAGGCUGGCCAACCACAUUAAACAAAGUAGCCCGGUUUCCUUGCCCCUUGAAUGGAGUUCUUCCGAACAAAAGCUCGUAGAGAAAGAUCCCAAAGGUCCACCAAUCUACAGCGCUGCCAUGGCCUUCACCUUUAAUGAUUUCAGGCACCAAGUACUCGUGUGUUCCCACAAAGGACAUUGAUCUAGCACUUGUCGGUUCUGCAACGAGUUCAGGGAGAGGGCUCACUUGAUUGUAUACAUCAUUAUCAUUGUUCUUCACCUUGAUCUUUUUAUCUUUCUUGGGUUUGCCCUUGAAAAUGCGUGGACCAAAACAUGUGGGCGUAAUGCAAUCCGGCUGCAUUACACAAGUUGGCUGGAUGCACGCAGGCUGAACACAAUAUGCUGAUUUCUUUGUCUCCAAACUUAAGUUUGAAGAUCUUACCAGGGUGGGGGAAACGGCACAUCUUAAAGAAAGGUCGAAAUCUGAAAGCAUUAUAUGUCCAUCUUCCCUCACCAAAACAUUCUCUGGUUUGAGGUCUCUGUAAAUGAUCCCGAGCAUAUGCAAAUAUUCCAAGGCAAGAAGAACUUCAACCACAUAAAACCUGCAAAAACAAACGGGAGAUAAACACACGAGAAUUAUUAUCUUCAGCAUGUCCCCAGCACUGGCAAAUAAACGUGUGCAAAACACUUGAUGUCCUUCUAGUUUAUAGGUUUACUCCUGCCUUUUCUCUGCAGGCUAUUGAAAUAUGAUUCCUAUUGUAACCUAAACUGAAAUGUGUAUGUGCACUAAUCAAAAAGUAAACUGAAAGGAGAAGUAUGAAGGAAUAUCUAACCUAGCAGCAUGCUCCGAAAAAUGCUUCCCAGGUUGUUUUUGUCUGAGUGCAUGCAGAUCACCCCAGGGACAAAACUCCAUCACCAAACAAGAUACCUUCUCCGUCUCAAAGUGUGUAUACAAUGUUGGCAGGAAAGGAUGAUCCAGAGAUUGCAGUAUUUCCCUCUCUGUCUGAGCCCUAAGAAGUUUUUUCCUACUUGCCAGUAAUGCUUUAUCCAUAACCUUCAUGGCGAAAUAAGUUUUAGUGCCAAUCAGUUCAGCCAAAUAAACGCUGCCUAUAUCUCCACAUCCCAGUGUCCUCAACAACUUGAAAUGCUCCUUACCCAGUGUUCCAUCAUGAUGAGAUCGCGCAGCUUGCACCGCUUCCCAACUAAUAUCAUUUGCCUUGUGGGGCUUGUACAUGGCAUUGCUCAAACUACUGGAGCUGCUCUCAUCGCUAACAUCGCUGCCAGUGCUGCCUCUAUAGAUGCUGGUCGUCCUGCUCUCAAUAAGAUCACAGGAAUUAGUAACUUCACUGCUUUCAACAGACUUCUCCACACUGUUGAUACAUUCACUGACUUCUGUAUUGGUGAAACUCUGCUUGGCUUCACAAUAUAGAGAGGCAGAAUAUAAACUGUUCUGAGGGCUUGCACAGUGAGAAAUGAGGUGGCUAUUUGUCUGCCCGGCUACUCCUUUAUAAGGAACCAAACCGUGAUUUCUAGAUUCCAUAUAUCUACUCGAAUCACAAUCAUUAACCGGAUGCUUGACGCUUGAUUUUGCUUCCAGCACGGAAACCUUGUUCAGAUAAGAAGUUUUGGCUGAUUUGUUAAGAACAUCAUUUGGGCCUCCAUGCUCAAGUGUUCCUGUUAAGUUUGAUAUUUCUAUAUAUUCAUACUGCUGCAAUGGCAGCAUUGCUUUAUACAUUGGAUACGUACACGCAUGCAUUAAACUAAAUAUAAAUGAAGGUGGAGUCCUCGCUGCCCAUAGUGCAGAAACUGCCCAUAAAGCACAAACACAGAUGCACAGCCCACGUGGGCAGUUUAGCUGUCAAGGCAUGUGUUGAAACCAUGUGCAAUAUUCUUCUGACAGGUUUGCUCUUUAACAUUCCCCCUCAAGUUGGAAUGGAUGUUGAUUAUUCCUAACUUGUGGAGCAAAGUCGUAAAUUGAUGUAAGCUCAGUGGCUUUGUGAAGAUGUCAGCUGGUUGCUUCAUGGUUGAAAUAUGAGACGUCCUGAUCAUACCACUUUGAAUCCUUUCUCGUACAAGGUGGCAGUCAAUUUCUAUGUGUUUGGUUCUUUCGUGAAAGACCGGAUUCGAAGCGAUGUGAAGUGCUGCUUGAUUAUCGCAAUACAACUUGACUGGAUGUUUAUGUUUGAUGCCCAAGUCUUGUAAAACAUAUUUCAGCCAAGUGACUUCACAACAAGAUGCUGCCAUUGAGCGAUACUCCGCCUCCGCACUAGAACGUGACACAGUGUUUUGUUUCUUGCUUUUCCAGGAGAUUAAGGAUUCUCCAAGGAAUACACAAUAUCCGGUGGUAGAACGUCGUGUGUCACGACAUCUGGCCCAAUCUGCAUCACAAAAGGCAUUCAGUUGGAUUGGACUUCUUGCAGAGAGAGAAAAAUACCUUGCCCUGGUGUAUGCUUAAUGUAUCGUAAGACUCGGUGGGCUGCCUCCAAGUGUGGAGUUCGAGGCUUCUCCAUAAAUUGACUAAGAAUGUGGACAGCAUAGACCAAAUCAGGGCGCGUGAUUGUCAGGUAGAUUAGUCUCCCAAUAAGCCGUCGAUAAGAAGAAGGAUCAGUGAUGCAUUGUCCUUCGUCCUUUCUGAGUGAUAAGUUUUUGCUCCAUAGGAGAGGUGGCUACUUUUGCACCAAGGUAACCUGCAUCCUCAAGUAUUUCAAGGGCAUAUUUUCGCUGUGAGAGAGCGAUCCCCUUACUAGAGCGAGCAAUUUCGAUGCCCAAAAAAAUAUUUUAGUUGGCCAAGGUCUUUCAACUUGAAUUGCUUCGUAAGGAAAGACUUGAUAUCCUCAAUUGCUUGUAUGUUAUUUCCUGCCAGGAUAAUAUCGUCAACAUAUACAAGGAGAGCAGUGAAUUUACCAUCAUGGUUUCGGACGAACAAUGAAUAGUCUGCCUUGGAUUGUUGAUGAUAACCAGCUUUGCUAAGAGCACAAGAGAGUUUGAUAAACCAUUGACGAGAGGCUUGCUUAAGCCCAUACAAAGAUUUAUGAAGUUUACAAACUCGUGUUUCCCCCUUUCGUCCGAAACCAGGGGGCAAGGACAUGUAGACAUCUUCUUCAAGGUCACCAUGAAGGAAGGCAUUGUGAACAUCAAGUUGGUGAAGGUGCCAUUGUUGGACUGAGGCAACGGCAAGAAGUAGGCGGACUGUAGUCAGUUUUGCAACCGGAGCAAAAGUCUCACGAUAGUCUAAGCCUUCAAUUUGGCUAUAACCUUUGGCAACCAAGCGUGCUUUAUACCGCUCAACUGAUCCAUCGGAACGAAAUUUGAUUUUGUAGACCCACUUACAUCCAACCGGCUGCUUUCCAGGGGGGCAAUGGUUGAAGAGACCAUGUCCUAUUUGCAGCAAGGGCUGCCAGUUCUUCUUCCAUGGCUAAACGCCAUUGGGGGUCGCGUACGGCCUGUGAGAAUGAACUGGGUUCUAUGGCAGCUGAAAUGGAAGUGGUGAAAGCACGAUGGCGAGCAGAUAAGCGAUCAUAUGUGAGUACAUCAGACAAAGGAUAAGAAGUACCUACCACUGUGGUCAAUGCUGAGUGAGAUGAAGGGACGGACCGAGAAGGAAGGUUAAUGCCAACGUGAUAUUGUUGAAGAUAACCAGGUGCAUGAGUGAGGCGUUUAAGACGAGGUGGUGAAGGGGAUUGGUCGACUGAAGAGGAUGGAUCGACUGAAGUGGAUUGGUCUACUGAAUCUUGUUCUAGUGGAAGGGACGGAUGAAUGAUGGUGUCAUCACAGUCAAUAUCUUGAGUAUAUGGAAACACAACAGGUGAGACGGCAACGGAAGAAGAAAAAGGGAACACAUUUUCAUGAAAAAUAACAUCACGGGAAAUAAAAAUUUUACCCGUUUGAAGGUCGUAAACUCGAUAUCCUUUGGUGCCGUAUGGAUAGCCAAGAAAAAUACAACGUGUGGCUCUUGCAUCAAAUUUGGUUGGUCUAUGGUGGUGUGUGGAAGAGAAACAUAAACAACCAAACACUCGCAAAUGUGCAUAUGUUGGCUGUUUGUGAUGAAGGAUUUCAUAGGGUGAUUUUCCGUGAAGAAGAGGAGUGGGAGUCCUAUUAAUGAGAUAAGUGGCAGUUAGGAUUGCAUUACCCCAAAAUUUCUUGGGAAGAUGAGAUUGAAAAAGCAAGGCUCUAGCAACGUUAAGUAAGUGGCGGUGUUUACGCUCUGCUACCCCGUUUUGUUGGGGAGUAGAGACACAACUUGUUUGAUGUAGAAUGCCUUUAGAUGAAAAAAAAUGGGUCAUAAAAAAUUCUAGACCAUUAUCACUACGAAGAACCUUAACUCGUGUGGAAAAUUGUGUUUCAACAAGGUGGAUGAAUGUGAUGAGAUAUGAUCGUGCAUCUGAUUUGUGAUUCAUUAAAUAAACCCAUGUGCAUCGUGUGAAAUCAUCUACAAUGGUCAAGAAAUAUUGUGCCCCUGUGAUAGUGGGAACAUGGUAACCUCCCCAAAUGUCAACAUGAAUUAAUUCAAAAGGAGCUUUUGUUUUAAUAGAACUCAAAGGAAAAGGAGCACGUGUUUGUUUGGCUAAGGGGCAGAUCAAACAAUCAUCAAUGCUACAAAAAUUCAAAUUUUUAAUGCAAGGGGAGAUAGCCCGUAAGGUUUUGUUGGAAAGAUGGCCAAGGCGUUGAUGCCAAAGCUGAGAAGCAGAGAAAGAGUAACAACUGACACUGAAUUGCACCUGGUUUUCGUCACAUUAUCAAGGUAGUAGAGGCCUCCUUGUUCAGUUCUCGUCCCAAUCAUCUUCCCCGAUCGUUGGCCCUGAAGUAGACACUUUUUAUCAGUGAAGAUGACAAAGCAAGAUGAGGUAUUAGUGAUUUUGCUGACAGAAAUUAAAUUCAGUUUAAAUGAUGGAACACAAAGCACGUUGUAAAGGACGAGAUCGUUCGAGAGACGAACUGUGCCAAUAUGUGUGAUAUCGGCAAGUGCAUGAUUGGGUAGGUGCACUUGUCGAUUGUAUACCGGAACGCUUGUGGUCAUCAAACUUGGUGAGCAAACCAUGUGGUCUGUGGCGCCAGUAUCGAAAAUCCAGUUCCUUCCCUUAUUGAGAGGAGAAGCACAAAGAACUCUACCUGAUAAAUCAUUCAUAGUAGAGGUGGUACCGACAUGGUUAGAUGUGGAUUUAGACUGGCUCUUAUCAAGUAGUGCAAGCAGGUUGUGGUAUUGCUCGGGAGUGAGGCUGUAGGAUGAAGGAGAUGUUGCUGGAGGCGUUGGUUUGAUGUCAACGUGAUUAGCCUUGGAGUUGAACCCCUGCGAGUUGGAACCCCUGCGAUCUUGAUAAUCUCCCUUAUCGCUGUUGUCCUUUGCCUUUUUCAAUUUGCGGCAUUGGUCUAUGGUGUGACCUCUCCAAUUACAGUAGUCGCACUUGAGGUGUGCACACGACAGGUUUCUGAAGUAUGUCCGGUUGCAUCACAACGGCCACAUUUUAAAUGGGAAUUUCUAGGAGAAAAAUUCCUACCAGAGUUUCGCAUGUUGUCCCGCACGGCGAAAGCUGCGGCAUCAGUGAUUGAAGACCUUCCAGGAGCAUGUAUUGAGACUGCUCUCUGUUUCUCAUCUUGAAUAAUGAGUGAGAAAGCUUUGUUGACAGCAGGGAGAGGAUCCAUAAGUAAGAGUUGCCCACGAACUGCAGCGUAGGAUUCAUUGAGACCCAUGAGAAACUUCAUGGUUUUCUGACUUUGCUGAAACUGCAUCAAUUCUUUCGCAGCUCCACAAUGCACAGGUUGGGAGAGCGCACAAGGCAUCACGUUCAUCCCAAAAACUUUUCAGUUUGGUAUAAUAUGCACCAAUGUUCAAAUUUCCUUGAACACUUCCAUGUAUCUCUUGUUCGAUAUGGAAGAGAUGGACACUGUUUGUGUGAGAGAGAAGCGUUCCUUCAACUCAUUCCAAAUAUCAGCUGCAACAUUGUUGUAGAUGACACUUGCACCAAUAUCUUUUGAGACAGAGUUGAGCAGCCAAGAUUUCACGAGGUUGUUGCAACGAGUCCACUGUUGGUAUUCAAUUGUGGACGUCAACUUAGGCCUUUGAAUGGUUCCAUUGAUGAAUCCUUCCUUGUUCUUGGCAUUGAGGGCCAUGGUCAUGGCUCGGCUCCAAGUGGAGUAAUUUUCGUCAUUCAAUGGUUGGUUGUGUGACGAGAAUCGCUCCAGGCUGAUCGGAGUGAUGAAGAUAAAGAGGAUCGCUGGGAUCUUCGUAUUUGGUGUGUUUGCUGGAAGAGUCAGUUGCCAUGUUCACAGACAGUGUGCAGUGGCUGUGCUUUGCGGCUGUGCUUAAUGGCUGUGACAGGUAGAGCAGCGACGAUGGCUGUGUAGCGGUUUUGCGACGGCAAGGCAGCGAGUGUGCAGCUUGCAGUGCACUGGUUGCUGCAGUAGCAGAUGUCGCUGUUCACAGUAUAGCAGCGAAAGAGUGAAGGCAGAGCAGAGCAAAGGAUUACCUGCGCUCUGAUACCAUGUUAAGUUUGAUAUUUCUAUAUAUUCAUACUGCUGCAAUGGCAGCAUUGCUUUAUACAUUGGAUACGUACACGCAUGCAUUAAACUAAAUAUAAAUGAAGGUGGAGUCCUCGCUGCCCAUAGUGCAGAAACUGCCCAUAAAGCACAAACACAGAUGCACAGCCCACGUGGGCAGUUUAGCUGUCAAGGCAUGUGUUGAAACCAUGUGCAAUAUUCUUCUGACAGGUUUGCUCUUUAACAGUUCCUUUAUUCGAAUUGUGGUAGUGUUUCCCCAUAUGAAGAAACUCUUCCUGCUGCAUGUUAUGAUUAGUUGCCUUGUUGGGGUUCUUUUGAUUAUUUACAGAACCAUUUGAGUAGCUGUCUGUCUUCACCGAAUAAGUAUGCGCAGUCACGCAGGAUGGCGACGAAACCCCUUCGCUUCUUGAUUGUUUUGGAGAUGAGGGCUGAGAAGGACGAGGAGUCCCAGUUGUGGAAGGAGGGUUCUUGCCUACCUCAGGCGGUGCAGAAUAGCGAAAUUUCGGCAAAGAAUUAACCCCAUCAACCAGUGACCCCAUGGCUUUCACACAGGCACUGUCACUGCAAAAUUCAACUGAGCACUAUGAUAAUAUGAUAUGUAACAAUCUUACCACUAAAGGCAUUAAGUACAGAAUCAUCAACUUGAAUUGUCUUCCAAAAUUCAAAUUAACAAGGCAGAGCCGUCAAUUCGAAACACAGAAUCAACAAAAAAUCUGCAACAAUAUACAGUCAAAGAAAAUCCCAGAUGAACCGAAAUUCAAGAUACAAGCUUUAAUUCACAAUCUAAUUAAUGGCAGCGCGAAAGGGGAAAAAUAUAUCAAAAAAGGAUCAUUUGACAAAAUUUUCAACAAAAAUUUAUCUUUUUAUAAAACCCAGAAACCCAAAUUCUCCAGUGAUUGAACCCAAGUUCUAAUUUUGAUUCUUUUCAAAACCAAACACGACUUUCAUUUUCUUUUCGUUUCCCACAGUUUCUCGGCAACCAAACAACAGAACAACGCAAAAGAACCUCAAAGCAAAGAACCCAAUUAGCCAAAGAGAGCUUAGAAAAAUUACCUGAUCAGAGAAGAGAGAAAGCAGACGACAGCAAGCAACCUCGCAUGGCUGGUGGGCACAAUGAGAGAGAGAGAGAGAGAGGAGAGAGAGAGAGAGAGACCCAAAGAGCGAGAGCUCACAGAGAAAGUGAAACAACUUAGAGGGGGUCUCUGUUUCUGUUUUUCAUCUUUUGGAUUUCACUGAAGAGCUUCAGAUCCGAUCGAACAAGAAAUCCAGAGGAGGAUCAAGCAACAAGACAACAAACAAAGAAAAAAAUAUGAAUAAAUUUAUGAACUUUUAACUUCUGGGGAGAACAGAAAGUUGGAGUUUCUCUGGUUUUUCUCGUCGCGGUGUGGACUUGAGAGAAAAACGAAGCCAAAAUUCGCAAGCAAAGCGUAAAGCUUAAAAAGCCGUCUUUGUCUUUGGAUGUUUUUUUUUCCAAUGUAUUUUGUUCUCUGAGAAGAAAAUAUGGUGGAAAGAACGUCUCUUCGCUUUGUUCUUGUUGUGAAAAAAAAAAACUUUUUAACAUUUUAGUUGUAUCAUGGCUCAUGGCGCACGAGAGAUAUUUCAUUAUGUCGAAAACACGGUCUGAUGCGAUUAUAGUGUAUCAAACCGUGUUAUCUUAAAGUAUGUAGGAAACAUGAUUUGAUGCGCUAAGUGUCUUAAUAUAAUUUGUUGAAAAAAAUUCAUAUGAUAUAUAAUGUAUCAAAUCGUGUGCCCCUAAAAAUGUAUUACGAUAGUUGUUUUCAAUUUGUUCAUUGAGGUAUUUUGGCAAUUACAAUAAAAACAACCAGCGCAAGAAAUCUUUAGGGACCCGUAGCGUCAGUAAUUGAAAAAAAAAAUGCCUCUCUCUUGAGAAAUUUUGAAUGUACCCCUAACCAAUAGCCCGCUUUAAGAAUUCAAUCUUUAAAUGAAUGAAUUGGUAUUGUGAAUGUUAAGAAUUAUUAGCUGGUGAUCAGACUAGUGAUACAUUUUUUUUUUCUCAAUGUUUGAAUUCCCAGUACAAUAUAUUUUGUAGCACUCAAUCGAACCUACAUGGCAAGGAUGUAGAUUUUUCAAAUGUAUAUUUUUAAGAUAUGAGGAAUUUAAAUGAAGAAACCAAACCCAAAUCUUGUAGCACACCCUUAUUCUACAACUACAUACUCAAAUGCAAUGUCAUACGUAAUUGUACAAAUAUCAAACUCACUUUUUUUUAUUAAUUUUCAAUAGUUAUCAUACUUCGUCUUUCAAGUGUAACUUAUUUUUCGAGCUCCCAAUAACAACUCCAUUUACAUUUUAUAUGAGCAAUGUAAUUAUCGAUAUCACAUGACUCCUACAUUAUUUUCAAGGCAAUUAUGUCCAAUGACGAAUGUACAUUGAGACCAAAGUGGUUUUAGGAUCACCAAAAGUUCAGAAAAUACACAUGUGAAUGUCUUUCGAGAAAUGAUUGGUAUUGAUCCUUCUUGUGCCCAUUUGAUGUAAUGCAUGCCAGCAUAUCUUGAGAUGAUGCGUCGAUAUCACUCAUCAGACUGUUUCAGUGUAUGUCAUUAUCUAUUGACAUGUUUCUAUCUAAAAAAUUAACAUUAAAACCCUCAAUGAUCCUAAUCUUGAAUUCGCAUCUGAUUAUGUUAUCUGUUUUAUCCCAUAAGUAAGAGCAGAGGUCCUCAACAUUGUCAAAUUUUCAAGCAUUCUUUCCCCUCAAAUAUUAUUUUAUUUUCUCCCUAAAUUCCAAUAAUACAAUGCUAAUAAUAAUUUUUUAAUGGAAUCUAAUCCAAAGAGUGGAAAAUAUCCAACAUCUAGAAUGUAACUAGACAAUGUUUUGAUUGACCACAACACCAAAAUUCAGGGAGCAGAUAUAGGACUUAAUUUUCAUUUUUUUAAACAUUAUUUAGGUCCAAGAUAAUUAAAUUAAAUUAUAAUUAGUCGUAAUCACAUGGGGAUUAAGCAACCGCACAAAUCUCGUUAAUUCCUUUCGCGGGAACCAGGAGGGAGGCCUCACAUGCGCGCACGUGAACACCAGGACAAAGCACGUGGGCGGCUGUCAUGCCCGUCGCAUGAAUCUACGGUAGGCCCGCGGUGAAACUAAAAGAUAUGUUUAAUCUGGAAGGACAGGGCGCCCGUAUCAAAUGUUACGGAGCUUUGGGUAUGUGGGUCUACAAUCACAUAAAUUUUUCAACGUUGUCGAAAACACAGUCUGUUAUAUAAGGUAUCAUUGUAAAAGCAGUUAAUUUUUUUUUUUUUUCAAACUAUUUAUGUUAUUGGUGUACUAGUCUGUUUUCCGACAGACUGAAAAAUAUCUCCACAAUCACACUGGUGGUAUUUUGUAUUGUGGAUUGUAAGUGCAAAAAGAGUCUAAUAGCAACUUAUAUAAAAUGAAUAUCUCAAUUGUAAAAAUCAAUUCUACUACUCAAUGUUUCGUGAAAACCAAACUUACAUUUAACAUUGUGUAUUAGUUUAUCGGAACGCCCUAAUUGCGAUAAACACAAAUUUUAUAUGUCAUUUUUGUGAGUUAAAGCUCAAUCCUUUGUGUUAGCAUAGAUAAUAUCGAUGUUAAAAAAUAAGAAAGUCAUUCUCGUGAUGGUGACCAGAUACACGUAACAUGCUUUCCUAACAAUGUGGGUCCCAGCAAAGACCCAUUUCCUUAAAUUUUAAUUCCCAUCAGACAUCGGACGGUUCUAUAUUGCUUCUGGACAUUGAUGGAUGCUCUGCACCGUAAACUCUAUGCGGUGCAAAACACUUGGUUCUUGACACGUGUAAUUAUUAGAAGGGAAUUUAGACAGUAUCAUGACUAGUGGGGACCACCAUUACCAAUCACAUAACAUGGACAUACCUUGGGCAAAUCAUUUUCCAUUUUCUCCAUUAGACAGUGAGCAAUCUUUCAAUGUACCUGAAACAAAGUGACAUAAUAGUAAGUAACACGGAGGAUGUCAGGACCAGUUCCAGACUCAAAAACCUUAAGGCCCAGUUUGGUGGGAAAUGGAAUAGGUUGUGAUCAAUUAAAAUAAAUUUUGAGUUCAACAUGUUAUUUAUUAUGUUAAAUGUGAGAUAGACAAGACUGAACUGGGUUAUAAGUUCAGAAUAGAGUAGAUUAUCUAACUUAUCCUUAUAAAUAGGUUACAAGUCUUGUCUUAUAAGCCCCUACGAAUCUAAUCAUACCUCUGUUGUCUAAUCUCAUCCAUCACCCCAAACGGGCCCCUUCGUGACAUCACAACAUAUUGACUCAUGUGCAAAAUUCAUUGACCACACAUGUUCCAUAUACGAACAAGUAACUUUUUUCAGCUAGGCACUAACACUGUCAUUAUUCAACCAAGCACUUACACUGUCAUGUGGUUUUACGAAUCCAUUCAUAUUAUAACAUAUGUAACCAUAAAAAAUUUCAACAUGACCGUUGCUUUAUACUGUAGUUCUGUACUACACAUGAAUUAGUAACAUCACCAUGUAGAUGUCCUACCAAAAAAAACGAAAAAUCUCCAUACAACUACAAACGAGAAGCAUUAAACUAGACAUUCAUUUCCUUCUCUGAGCAUGGGCAAACUAGCAAGGAAUGUGAUGAGGAAACUAACAUUAGACAAGAUGUCAAGAUUGUUCUAACCAAUUUUCCAGGUACAAAUUUAAGACGUAUCUCGCCGUUGACAAAACGUCAAGCCUCUUCUCGCUCGGUUCAUACUUCCCUUUCCGGAGCCGGUACCGACGAGUUACGGCCGAGAUUGUGUAAGUUUGGCCUUCUAUUGUCACACCGUCCCCACAAUGUAGGUUCUGCAGCAUGGAAGGUGCAAUAAGAACACACACAAGGAAAAUCAAAAGAGAAGAAAAUAGCAAGUUUAGUAGCAAAUUCGACGUAUCAUACAUCCGUAGGGCCUGCUGCUCCUCCAUGAAUGAACAAAUAGAGUAAUAUAGACGAUAGAGUAAUACUGAACGCAUGACAGACAGAAACAAUCAGUUCGGAUGCACGUAUAGUUUGAGGGAAGGUUUCGGUGCAGUUUCCUGGUUUUCUGAAGUCGUGUAUAGGGUUGUCCUCUCCCCGCAUAAAUGUGAUGGAGACUGAACUGUGAGAGACGUUCAAAUCUCAUAGAUGGUGAUCAUUUGCCUAGCCAAAUAAAAAGGAUCAACUUCGAUCCCGUACAUGAAUCAUCUUCCAUGCCUGUACAUCUGAGAAUAAUAUAAAACGGCGUUUAGACACUUAAGAAACGAAAAUGGCACAACGCAAAGACUUUGAUCACCUUGUGAUUUCAUUCACCAUCGCUCGGUCAUUGUGUUCUUUAGGUGUGUGCAGUGAACACUGAAACUUGUUUCUUCUAAACCAUCGAAAAACUUGUGCUCUUAACUUCACGCUUAAUUAAGUUAGCCGCGAAUGUGAAUUACAUUGCUUAUCUUCAUUUCGACACAGUUUUGUCCAAGUAAUCUGUUGGAGCAUGUUUGGUAUUCUACUUGAAUCCAACUUUUUAAACUAAAAAAUAAUUUUCAAGUUUUAGACCUUAAAAACUUGUUUGAUAUGACUAUUUUCAAAAACUGAACUCAAGACUAACUAAAAAAUAUAGUCUAUUAUCUAAAAACACAAAAUGUGAGUUUUUAGAAUUUUUAAAUUUAAAUUCACUCCUUUCUUUUCUCUCGCUCCUCCCCUCUCACUCCAAAGCUAUCUCUCUCUUUUCUUCUUUCUCUCUCCCCCUUCUCUUUUUUUUUUUUUUACCAUUUUCGUCUCUCAUCCAAUCCGCUCUCUUCAUUCUCUCGAUUCUUUAUCUCACUCACUUUUCUCUCUAUCUCCUCCGAUCCUCUCACUUCUUUCUUUUUCCUCCAAUAAUCUCUUACUUUCUUUCCUCUUCUCUCAUCUUUCUCUCUUGACCCACUCUUUUUGGAUCUCUUUGUCCAGUUUAAGUUGUAAGAUUUAAAAAUUUUAAAUUGCAUUUCAAACAAGUUUUUUAGUCUUAAAGAAAAUUGUUUUCAAGAAAAAUUCUUAAGAAAUGUUUUGAGAAAUUAUAAAAAAUUUCAAAUAGGAUACCAAACAAGCCAUUAGUUUCUUACAGUUUCUGAAAGAUCCAAGUCGACUGAGUACACGGUCUAUGCUACGUUUUUACCCAAGCGAAACACUACUUCAGAAAUGUUUUCACACCAGAAGAAGCUGCCUGAUGCAUACAUGACAAGCUAUCGAUACACAUUUAAGCAAGGACGUCUCACAUCCUCGGUAUGGUUUGCAUUUCUCAACGGCGUAGUGAUGCUUACUAGACAAAAGAUAAAAGAAAAGGAAAAGUGGGACGCAUUGGGGUUCAAUCUCCUCCAAAAACUAUGAAGGGCUUCCUCUUUGUGACACUUCCCAAAGUCAUCGCCAACACCAAUAUAUCAGAACAAGUGCAUAUGGCCCCCUAGAGCAAAAUGGAGUUCAGUGACCAACUCUUUCAAGUUUCAAUACAUCGAUCACGCAGCUUCUACCAAAUUCACACUCAAAAAACUUCCUUAUACGGUCAAUUUGUACAUCUGUGACAUCCAAAUCGACGUCAUUCGUGCUCAAUCAUUGCAGUAAUCGAGCUUAAACAGCUCAUAAUACAGUUAUAUAAGAAGCAAGAGCAAAUGCAGCAGCAGCAGCACCUGCAUAAUCCCCACUCAACAGACAUUCACGGAUUCAGAAUUGAUCCCCAAAAUUAUUGGUGGGAUUCGAAGCUCUUUUGCCACAAGUCCCCAAUCUGUCUAGCAAAGGGAAACAUUUGUGCCUCUCAUUUUAAUAACUUCUUUUUAUAGGGAGCUGAUCCGUUACUUUUUUACACAACUUUUGACAUACAUUUUUUUGCGGCGCAUUCUAUAAGUAUAUUUUAACGAUCCGAACCAUCACUCAUAUAUUAUACUUGCAAAAAUUUAGACUAACCCGAACCCAUUAAGACAUUUGUUUGUACCAAAAGAAACCUAAGCCCUUAUUUCAAGGGUCAUAUGGCUUCAUUUGGAAGACAGUGAAAUGCUUUCUGAACAAAAACUAGCAAAUCAUGGAAAAAAUUGUAAGAACAUCUCCAAUGGGUUGUGUUGAUGCACAAAAUCAGCGAAGACUUUGGUACAACAGAAAGUGUCAGGUUUUAUGACCUUCGCUUGGUUGCUUCGGUCACUAGUGAGGAUAAGUACGUAAAUGAAUAGAGACAGAGAAGCAAACACAGGAUGUACGUGGUUCACCCAGAUUGGCUACGUCCACGGAGUAGAGGAGUUCUUAUUAGUAGUGAAGGGCUUACACAAGUACAAAGGAUCAAGCUCUCAAUUUAGUGAGUUCUUGUGAAUGAUUUAACACAAAUGGCAUUAGGCAAUAUUGUGGGGGAAUGACCCCUAUUUAUAGAAAAACUUGUAGCUUUGUCACAUUGACAUGUGUCAUGUUAUGAUUGGUUCUUGAUGUCGACACGUGCUGCGCUCUGAUUGGCUUCUAAUCUUGACACGUGUCGAGUAGUGAUUGGCCUCCUGGUCGGAGGGGAACUCUUCUGGGUCCUUGACAGUAUAGCGUUGGCCGGUGCUCGGUAGUUUCGGGAUUGGUCAAGUAUGGUACAAACAGUGCUCCCCUAAGUUCCCGAGUGAGGGAAACUCCUCGGUUGGGGACUUGCAAGAUCCAAUCCCUUGAGUAAUCACGAAACUUCUAAGUACCGAAGUGUGGUCUGAUCUUCAUCUGCCCUUCUCUGGAAGUACCUUUCCUCCAUCCGGGAAUGGUGUAUUUAGCUGAUGUUGACGCACAAGGUAAUGUAUCAAUUUCAUUUGAAGCUUAGUUGUAGUUUCGGGCUUAGUCAAGUGUGAUACAAACCCUAUAGUAGGAGUCCCCCAAGUCGCGCCGAGCUAGGAGAUCUGCCGAAAGAGGUGACAGACAAGGUAAGCAGUCAAACUUCCAAGUAAGCAACCCAGGAUCAGAGGUUUGACUUCGGCUUCCGGUUGAUUGUUCUCCUUCUCCUUGUCUCUCAUUCAACUGCCAGGAUAAGGAGAAGCAAAUGGAUAAGAGAUGAUAUGAGAUACUUUUGCUUUUGAAGAAGUAACUUUCCACAGGCUUAUUCUUGAACUGUGCUGGAGGGUUUUCUGGUGCCCUUCAGAGUAUAAGGCCGACUCAAAAAUUUGAGGGUCAAAACAAGUCCAUCAAAUCUAGAGUACGUUCGACCUUGAUGAUAUGGGAUACUUUUGCUGUUGACGGAAUAAUGAAUGUGGUAUGGAAAGGUGUCGUGCUGUAGUGAUCUGUUUCAGCUCACCGUUGAACCUUCUGCUUCAAUCUUUUGCAUGGCAGAAGUGGUGUGCAACCUUUGCAUUUAAAUGGUCCUUCAGAACAUUCCUUCAUAGUGACUCAUCCACGCUUGGCAGCUUCAGUGUAAAGAGCCAAUAUCUGAUCAACUGUCAUGAGGUAUUUGCCGGUGGAAUUCGUGACCUUGACAACAGUUGAGGAUGAGUACUCGAGAGCAAUGCUAAGUAAGCAACCAGGGAAAGGCUCCAGGCAGUCAGUUCCAAAUUGGAGGUUUGAUUUCAGGUUCCGACUGACUGCUCUCUUUCUCCUUGUCCUGCAGGUGUGGACAAGGACAAAGACAAAGACAGGGAGAAAGCAUGAUAUGGGAUACUCUUGCUUUCGACCCUGAUGAUAUGAGAUACUCUUGUUCUUGGUGUGGCUUAUUUGCUGAGGUAUUAUCGGGGGGAAAUAAAGCUGAGUAUAUUUCGAGAGGUUAUGUUGAGGGUGCCUUUUUCGAAUGCGAGAAAGGGUUGAGCAUUUUUGCAGGUUUGCCUGUCCGUUGAGGAGGGAGGUCAAUGUAUAUAGGGAUUUCCCAAUAACAAGUAGUAAUGUUAUUCCUUUACCCUUCUUGGUCACAGCAAUGUAGUGGGAGCUGCCAGCUUCACGUGUUUUUAAUUUUGUCAGAGCACUUUGAAAAAGUGGUAUGUGGUAUCUGGAAAGCUGAUAUUACGUGUGAAGAUUACAGACAAGCUUUAUCUAAGGAAAUCUGGCUCUCGAAGUUCUGAGAGUUGUGCCUCUUCGGUUUUCGAACAAGCAAUCCCGUCGAGGAUCUGACUCUCGAGAUUCGGAAAGCGGUGCUACUCCGGUUUUUGAGAAAGUAAUUAUGUUGGGAGUCUUUUCUCGAAUGUGAGUAAAGGUUGGACGUUCUUGCCAACCUGUCUUGCCGCAAAACACGGAGGUCGACACACAUAGGGACUUUCCAGUUGUCAAGCAGUGGUGCUGUUCCUUUACCCUUAUGGGUAAUAGUAGGGUAGCUGGAACUUCGAAAUUCUCGUGCCUAAACUUUGUCAGAGAUCUUUGACAAAGUUAUAUGUGGUACCCGAGGAGUUGAUGGUGCAUAUGGAGAGCGGUGAUUGAACAGUAAGAUUCACGUGCUUUCUACUUCACCAGAAAUCUUCGACAGAUUGCCCGUAAUUUCCGCAAAGCUGAUUGUGCAUGUGACAGGUGCUGACGAGGCUGAAAAAGCAAGUGCUUCUUCGAUUUCUGAGAUCGGCCCUCGUGGUCUCUGAGCAGCCCAGCUUUUGAGAAAGCAAACGCCUCUUCGAUUUCUGAGAUCGGCCCUCGUGGUCUCUGAGCAGCCCAGCUUUUGAGAAAGCAAACGCCUCUUCGAUUUCUGAAGCUCCGUCGAGUGCAGAUUUUUAUAGAGGCUGGCAUUAAGUUCCACAGCACACUUGAAUCUCUACCAGUAGAAGCUCAUUUCUUGCACUUCUAAGAUCUUGAUUUGUCUGACCUCUUCCUUCUUCAACACAUUUGAAAAUGUCUGGACCCUCCGACCGUCGUUUUGACUUGAACCUUGGAGAAGAGACAGCCACGCCUUCUCCAGACAACAUAUGGCGCCCAUCCUUCAUAUCCCCUACUGGUCCUCUUACCGUUGGGGAUUCUGUGAUGAAGAAUGAUAUGACCGCUGCAGUGGUGGCCAGGAACCUUCUCACUCCCAAAGAUAACAGACUACUUUCCAAACGGUCUGAUGAGUUGGCUGUUAAGGACUCUCUGGCUCUUAGUGUUCAGUGUGCAGGUUCUGUGUCUAAUAUGGCCCAACGCCUAUUUGCUAGAACCCGCCAAGUUGAAUCAUUGGCUGCUGAAGUGAUGAGUCUCAAACAGGAGAUUAGAGGGCUCAAGCAUGAGAAUAAGCAGUUGCACCGGCUCGCCCAUGACUAUGCUACAAACAUGAAGAGGAAGCUUGACCAGAUGAAGGAAUCUGAUGGUAAGGUUUUACUUGAUCAUCAGCGGUUUGUGGGUUUGUUCCAAAGGCAUUUAUUGCCUUCGUCCUCUGGGGCUGUACCUGGUAAUGAAGCUUCAAAUGAUGAACCUCCAAUGCCUCCUCCUUCUGGGGUUUUGUCAAGUACUGAGGCUCCGGAUAACCACCCUCCGGUGCUUUCUCUUUCUGGGGCUCUACCGACUGCUGAGACUUCCCCUAAGCAACCUUUGUGAAGGCUCCCUUUUGUUUGUUUAUUUUGACUCAUGUAUAUGUACAUAUUUGUGGCUUAUCGAAAAUAUUAAUAAAUAAGCUUUGCUUCAUUUCAACAUAUUGUGUUAAAUACACCAAAGCCUUCUUCAUAAAGUUCUUUGAAUUUUUGCUUUUGUUGAAACCUGUAUUGUUGAAGCUUUGUGAGUGAAGCAUGUAGUUUGAGGUAGUGUUCCCUUAAUUUCCCGAGUGAGGAAAACUUCUCGGUUGGAGACUUGAAAAAUCCAAGUCACUGAGUGGUUGUGAGACUGCCGAGUAUCAAGGUGCAGUAGCAUAUGGUGGGAGUCCCCCAAGUCUUCAGGCGAAGAGAGUUGCCGAAUGAGGUGUCUCUCGCGUGUUACUAAUUUGUCAAAGUAACGAAUCCUUGUUUCGAUGUCACACAUUCGUAUAUGCUUUAUCUAAAAAUAUUUCCAACUUUUGUGUGUUUGAUGCUGCAUGCUAUUGACUAGACAAGAUCAAGUGCAAUUAGUAGCUUUUCUCUCUUUUUCAUCUUUUCUUUGGUGGAAUUGCUUUUCGUUUCCACUAAUCAGCCUGAGUGGAUGCAAGAUAACACCUUUCUCUAUAGCUCAGAUUGCAAAGUCGUCUUCAUGAAAGUUUUUCCUUAUCUUGUGAACUACAACAUAUCCAAAUUUGAGAUCCAUCGGAGUAGUACAACUUCAGAAAUUCAAGUAUGAUGAGUAACUGUUCAUCAAUGUUCUGUUAAUCCGUCAGACUUGUUGUGAGCUUCGAAACUCCAUUUUCUCUUGUUCAGAUCAACAUACUUUCUUCAUCGAAGUUGUUCCUUAACUUGUGAACUACAACAUAUCCAAAUUUGAGGUCCCUCGGAGCAGUAUAACUCCAGAAAUCCAGGUAUGAUGAGUGACUGUUUAUCAUUUUGUCUGUCAACCCGUCAGAUUUGUUGUGAGCUUUGAAACUCUAUUUUCUCUUGCUCAGAUCAGCAUGCUUUCUUCAUUGAAGUUGUUCCUCAGCUUGUGAACUACACAACAUAUCCAAAUUUGAGAUCCCUCGGAGCAGUAUAACUCCAGAAAUCCAGGUAUGAUGAAUGACUGGUUAUUAUUUUUCUGUCAACCCGUCAGAUUUGUUGUGAGCUUCGAAACUCCAUUUUCUCUUGUUCAGAUCGGUAUGCUUUCUUCAUUGAAGUUGUUCCUCAUCGACUCUUUCAUAACAUAUCAAAAAUUCAGGAUGAACUAACGGUUAAAUAUUUCCAGAUCUUCGAAACAUCACAACAGCUUCGAAAUCUGCAAGAAGCCGACUAUCAUGUUUGGAGCUUCAACACUUUAAUUUCCGUCGCUCAAACAGAAAUGGUUCCUUCUUGAAAGUUGUUCAUAUGCUCAAGAACUAUAGGGUGUCCAAAAUUCAGCUCCAUUGGAGAAGAGCAGAGGUUGCAGAAAUUUGAUAGAUGAAAGGAGGCGGAAGAGGGAGAGAGAGAAAAAGUCUCUUGGGUUGGAUUUCUAUUUUGGGGCAGAUUCCAAUUUUUGUAGCACCUUCAUUAUUGAUGAAUUGCUUGUACUUUUGUCCAUUAUGAAACUUGGGACUUUGGCUUGUUGUUGGAUCUAUUAUAAUAUGUUUGGGAACAUAUAUAAGUGAAUAAAUAAGAAGGAAAAUUUUGGGCCCUUGUGGGUGUAAAACAAAAAAUGUUUAUGUUUACCCAAGUGUUUUUGUACAAGUUCAAGGGCAUCUUGGGUUUUGUGAACAAAAUUUGUUUAUUUGGAGCAAGGUUUUGUGUUGAAGCUUUGUAGGUGAAGCUUUGGUGUUGAAGCUUUCUAGGUGAAGCUUUGAUGGUGAAGCUUUGUAGAUGAAGCUUUGUAGAUGAAGCUUUCUAGGUGAAGCUUUGAUGGUGAAGCUUUGAUGGUGAAAGUAUGUAGAGGGAGCUUUCUAGGUGAAGCUUUUUUAGGUGAAGCUUUGUAGGUGAAGCUUUUUUAAGUGAAGCUUUUCGGGUGAAGUUUUUUUUUUUGGGUGAAGCUUUGUGGGUGAAGCUUUUUAGGUGAAGCUUUUGUGGGUGAAGCUUUGGAGGUGAAGCUUUUCGGGUGAAGCUUUUUGGGUGAAGCUUUUUAGGUGAAGCUUUGUGGGUGAAGCUUUGGAGGUGAAGCUUUUCGGGUGAAGCUUUUUGGAUGAAGCUGUUUUUUUUUUUUUUUUUUUUUUUUUUUUUUUUUUUUUUUUUUUUUGGCGCUUGACACGGUCUUCAUUUGCUUGUUUUGUAGUGACUGUGGAAGACGGAUUGCUUUCUGAUUGAGAAGGGUUCCGGCAUCGCUUGCUAUGAAUGUAAAAGAGUGAGGGCUGAGUUGGCUAAAUUACCUCUUUAUUGAAUUCAUUGCCAAAUGGCCUUCAUUACAUAGGAUGCCGAACGGCUAUAGCUCAACACUUGUACAUCGUGAGUCUAUUUGUAGUAGUACUUCAAGUGAUCAGCGUUCCAUGGAUGGCCAAGGGUCUUGCCAUCGGAGCUUCUAAGUGUGUAAGAGCCAGGGCGACUGAUGCCAAUGACUUCAUACGGUCCAUCCCAGUUUGGACUAAGUGUGCCUUCACUCGGGACUCUGUCGCAGAGUAAUCUUUUCUUUAAGACCCAGUCUCCUAUUUUGAAAGAACGAGGCUUGACCCUAGAGUCAUAAUAGUUGGAGAUGCGCUGCUUGUAGGCGACAUUCCUCAAGUGAGCUUGGUUUCUGUGUUCCUCGACUAAAUCCAAGUUGAGGGUGAGUUGUUUGUCAUUUUCACUUUGAAUGUAGUUCUGGACUCGGAAUGUUGCUUGCUCGAGCUCAACAGGGACAACCGCCUCUGUGCCAAAGGCAAGUGAGAAUGGAGUUUCUCCUGUUGAAGUCCGAUAUGAAGUGCGAUAUGACCAAAGAACUUGGGGUACAAAUUCUGGCCAACAGCCUUUAGCUUUGUCCAAGCUGGUUUUCAAAGUGCGCUUGAUUAUUUUGUUGAUGGCCUCAACUUGUCCAUUAGACUGGGGAUGAGCUGGAGAGGCAAAGCAUAAGUUGAUGUUGAACUUAGAGCAGAACAACCUGAACUUCUUGUUGUCAAACUGUCGCCCAUUGUCAGUGACUAUCGCAUUGGGAAUGCCGAAUCUACAAAGGAUGUUCUUCCACACGAAGUCUUCUAUCUUUGCCUCAGUAAUGGUUGCCAAGGGUUCUACUUCGGCCCACUUUGUGAAGUAGUCCACUGCAACGACUGCGUAACAGACUUUGCCCUUCCCUGCCGGCAUUGGGCCGAUCAAAUCAAGUCCCCACUGGGCGAAGGGCCAAGGGCUGAUCAUAGGAGUAAGAGGCUCUGGAGGGGAAUGAGGAAUAGCCGCAUAUCGUUGACAUUUGUCACAUGAGCGGGAUACUUUGAUGGCAUCCUGGUGGAGUGUUGGCCAGUAAUAUCCUUGGCGAAAAGUCUUGUGUGCUAGGGACCGAGAUCCAGCAUGAUCUCCACAGACUCCCUCAUGUAUUUCCCGAAGGACGAUUUCCGCCUCGGCAGGCGUAAGACACCUUAAGUAUGGCAGGCUAAAACCUCGCUUAUAGAGUUGAUCAUUGAUGAUCAGGUAGCGGGUAGACUUGUAUCGAAUUUGCUUAGCCUGGACUUUAUCAUUUGGGAGGGUGCCAUGAGCAAGGAAAUUAUAGAUCGGGGUGAUCCAACUAUCCCCCUGUUGUAAGUUGCAUACUUCUGCGGCCAUGGUGCUUGGUGUUGCCAACAGUUCGACAUGAAUUUUUCUUCCAAUCUUGUCUUCCACAGCCGAGGCGAGGCGAGCCAGGGCGUCUGCAUGACUGUUUGCCGCUCGAGGAACUUGGGUGAUCUGGUAGUGGAAGUGCUUGAGCAAAAGUUGUGUUUGCGCAAGAUAUGCUGCCAUGGAGCUGUCCUUAGCAUCAAAGUUGUUGGUAACCUGGUUGACCACCUAAUUGGGAGUCACUGAAAAUAUCAAUUUGUUUAACCCCGAGGUGUUUGGCCAAACGUAAUCCUGCUAGAAGGGCUUCAUACUCGGCCUCAUUAUUUGAUGCCUUGAAUUUGAAACGAAGAGCAUACUCCAUUGCUACUUUGUCGGGUGUAGUCAAGACUAGUCCCGCUCCACAGCCCUGUUGGUUGGAUGAGCCAUCAACAUACAGACUCCAUGCUGGGGUUGUUGGUUCUAUCUUCUGAGCUUCCGGGGUAAUGAAGCCACUGCUUCAGGUGUAGAAGCAAUGUCAACCGGAUAUGUGAAGUCGGCAAUGAAGUCUGCCACUGCUUGGCCCUUCUCAGCUGGCUUUGGUUGGUAGGAGAUGUCAAACUCACCCAACGCUAUUGCCCAUUUGAUCAUUCGCCCUGAAGUGUCAGGACUUUGGAGUAUCUGUCGAAGAGGAUAAUUGGUAAGCACGAUGAUGGAGUGCGCUUGGAAGUAAGGGCGGAGUUUUCGAGCAGACAUGACCAAUGCCAGAGCCAAUUUCUCAAUGUUAGAGUACCGUGUCUCCGCAUCUUGUAAGGCUUUGCUAGCGUAGUAGACAGGUCGCUCAAUAUUCCCAUCCUUUCGAAUGAGAACGGAACUUACGGCUGAAGCUGAUACCGAUAGGUAGAUAAUGAGAAUGUCUCCUACCUCGGGCUUGGAGAGUAGAGGGGCUUUACUCAUGUACUCCUUGAGGUUUUUGAAUGCCUCGGCACAUUCAUCAGUCCAUGUAAUGUACUUCCUACUUCCCUUAAGUGCUUUAAAAAAGGGAGCACAUUUGUCUGUGGCCUUAGAAAUGAACCUGGUUAAGGCUGCCACCUUGCCAGUAAGGCUCUGGAUGUCCUUUGAAGUUACCGGUUCCUUCAUGUCGAGGAUUGCUUUGAUCUUCUCGGGAUUAGCUUCAAUGCCUCGUUGGCUAAUCAUGAAACCUAAGAAUUUGCCAGAGCCUACGCCGAAGGCACAUUUGUUGGGGUUUAACCUCAUUCGAUACCUCUUCAAAAUAGUGAAAGUUUCAGAUAGGUUGGUGAUGUGUUGGUCAGCAUGUUUGCUCUUGACUAACAUAUCAUCAACGUAAACUUCCAUGCUCUUCCCAAUCUGCUCGGCGAACAUUGAGUUGACUAGUCUCUGAUAAGUCGCUCCUGCAUUCUUUAGGCCGAAAGGCAUGACUUUAUAGCAGUAUAGUCCUCUGUCGGUAGUGAAGGCUGUGUGUUCUUGAUCCGAAGGGUUCAUGAGGAUUUGGUUGUAUCCUGAGUAAGCAUCCAUGAAGCUCAGGAGUUCACACCCGGCCGUAGAGUCUAUAAGUCUGUCAAUAAGAGGAAGAGGGAAGCUAUCUUUCGGACACCCUUUGUUUAGGUCGGUGUAGUCAACACACAUUCUCCACAAGACCUUUUGAAGCAAAAGACUUUCUUUGGUCGGAUUUUUCCUUAACAAGGACCACAUUUGCUACCCAUGUCGGGUAAUUGACUUCGCGGACAAAGCCUAUGCCUUUGAGUUUUUCAACUUCUGCUUUCAUUGCCUCGUAUCGUUCAGCGUCAUAAGAUCUUCGCUUCUGUCUCACCGGCUUGAUCUUGGGGUCAAUACUCAAACGAUGACAGAUGACAUCGGGAGAGAUGCCUGGCAUGUCCUCGUAUGACCAGGCGAAGACUUCAGUGUUCUCUUUCAAAAAAGAUAUCAAUGCUAACCGAAGGGGUGGUGACAAUGUGGUGCCAAUCUUCACCAUGCGAUCUGGAUAAUCUCUUGAGAUAGGUACCUUCUCCAACUCUUCAGCAGGUUGGGCUUGCUGGGUGAAAGAGUCAUCUCGAGGAUCAUCGGGUUGAUUGUUGCUAUCAGGAAGAUCCAAGUUCGCUUCAUCUAGGCUGGUCUUUGUGACUUGGUCAUGUACAGACAGGGUUUCCUUGGGUCCGGGCAAGUGUUGUUGCUUAACUGAAGUGUUGUAACAUGAUCGUGCACUAAGCUGAUCUCCUCUGAUGUAGCCGUUGCCAUGGGGGGUUGGAAAUUUCAUCAACAGCAUAUGCGUGGAUACCAUAGCCUUGAGAUCAUUGAUGCCUGUGCGCCCAAAGAUGACAUUGUAUGCCGUUGGGCAGUCAACCACUAGGAAGUUAGUGGUAAUGGUAGCCGUGUAAGGGCCUGUACCAAUAGUAAAGGGUAAAUGUAUGCUCCCUAAGGGUUGCACGAUAUCACCGGAGAAGCUUAUCAGAGGAGAAAAUCGAGCGAUCGAGCAAGUGUUCAGCUACACUGAGUGCCCUGAAAGCUUCGGCAAACAUGAUAUUGACCGAAGCCCCUGUGUCUACGAGGAUUCGUCGAACAUCAAAGUUGGCUAUGUGAGCCUCCACGAUCAAUGGGUCGUUAUGAGGGUAGAUGAUGCCUCUUUCUUCCUCAGGGUAGAAACAUAUCGGAUCCCAGUUAGGUUUUUGAUACUUCCCUCCCCUGAUGUCUUCCACGUGAAACACUUGGUGACCAGGCCUCAGACUUCGUUCACUGUUUUUCAUGGCCCUAUUGGAAGAUUCAGAUAUGGGUGUGCCGCCGCUUAUGGAAUAUAUGACAUUCACCUGGCGUUGGUUACGGUUAUCCCUUUGAGGGUGAAGAAGGAAUUGAUCAAUUUUUCCUUCUCGUGCCAAAGCUUCAAUACGAUCACGGAGGAUGAUACAUUUCUCGCUAUCAUGGCCGUUAUGCUCAUGGUAGCAACAAAACAUGCCCGCGUUAUUCGGGGGCGUGUAAUCUGGGUGCCUCGGCUUUGGCUUUGGUAUCAGGUGAGCUAUGCUGGGGUAAAUGGCCGCGCAUGUGGCAUUCAAGGGCGUGUAUGUCUCAUACCUUGGGGUAGGGGGUAUCUUGACGCGGGUUUGACCCACUGCAUUGACUGCCUGGGGGCGAGCGUUAUUGUGGCGAUACCCUUGGUUAUCGGGAUAGUGUCCCUUACUCUUUUUUACUGAAAGGAGAGUGGUGAGGAUGGAAAUCCUUCCUCUUGCCUUGAAAUUGAUAUGUCUGUUGAUUCGGUGAAGCAUUAUGCAAGGCAUGGGGAGGUGCCACUGCUGUUUGGAAAGUCGAGGUCUUCUCAUUUAGGUGAGUCUGGCUUCCACCUCCCACUUGUUGAUAAAGGAUGGUUGUAGGGGGUUUCUCCUGAUAUGUCUUUGCCUCGGCGGAGGCAUGGUUAUAAGCCUGCGCCAUCACCUCAGAGUAAGUCUUCCAAGUAUUGGCAUUGAUCAUGUAUUUAAAGAAACAAUCACGUAGGCCUGCCGUGAAGGCUUUGAGGGCAGUCUUGUCGUCUGCCUCGGCACACCGGGAGUAUUCAUGGCUGAAGCGGCCAGCAUACAUACGUAAUGACUCGUCUGGCUUCUGGCGGAUAGUGUACAGGUCAUCUGCAGAGUGCAAGCGAUCGGUUUGGAAAAUGUGUUGGGAAACAAAUAGUUUCCUCAAUUCCUCAAAUGAGUCUACCGUCUCAGGUGUAAGACGACAAUACCAAUUUAGAGCUCCACUAGAGAGGGUGGAGGGGAAGAGAAGACAUCGCUCUUCGUCGGUGUGCAUCCGGUAUGCCAUGGUGGACUCAAAGAGGUUAAGGUGCUCAAUCGGGUCCUCUUUUCCAGUAUAAAGUUGCAAGCCAAGCUUUUGCUUUGUCUUUGCUUGAAGGGGGGUGUUGAGGAUCCUCCUUGUAAGAGGGCCAGGCCUGGGUUGGUUCCAGUCAGGUAUUUCAGCCUGACGUUCAGCCUUCAACUUGUUUACUUCCUCAAGAAGUUGUAGGACAAGGGGGUCCUGAGCGGAGUUAUGUGUCACUGGAGCUUUCUUUCGUAAAUCUCCAUCUCCUAUUGGAAUUAGGAAGGUUUGAUCAAGGGCAUGUGAUUUUUCCCUGGACUCGCUGUACUGGCUUCCAAGGUAUGUCUGUCGGAACACCUCUGAGUCCCCUGUACCCUCAUGUCUCUCUAGGACUUGUUGCCCCUUCCCCAAAUUGGUGGCCGGCUUGGGCAGUGGCAGGGGACCGAGUCUCUCAGAAAUCCUUGGGUCAUUAAUCUUUGAGCUUAUAUGGAUGGAAUUCUCUCGACGUUGCUUCAGGAAAUCCCGACAAUCGCGAAAGACGGCUUUCGAUCCUUCUGCCCCUUCAGCAAAGAGGUGUCUCCUUCCACUUCUCAUGGUUCGGGUCGAAGCAACUGGGUUAAGAGAAGCCUCAUGUUGAUUAUCAAGUCGAGGGGUAAUCUGUUCCCUAUCAGGGAUAUCUAUGUCGAAUGCAUGUGACCCUCCAUGUUGGAGGGCACCCAGUUGAUGGUUGACUUCCACGGGGGCAACAAGCUCGCGUGUCUGAGCUUGCCUAGCUUCGUGGAGUGUCUCGAAGAGCUUCUCAUAUUGCUCCUGGAGGACCUCAUUCCUCAUUGCUAUCUUGUUGUUCUGAGCUUCCAACUCAUCGACUUUAGCUUGAAGAAGAACUCGUUUUCCUUCCUUCUUUCGUUGUUUUCGCACUAUGUGCAAGGGGGGUGUCAUUCUGUGUGCUGUGGCUUCAUUCGCUUCCCAUGCUGGAGAGGGAUGCCUGAUCAAAAGAAAGUGUACGAAUGAUAGAAACCAGCUUGACACAGCUGAAGAGAGUAGGAAUCAGUGUCGUUUCCCACAGACGGCGCCAAAUGUUGAUGCACAAAAUCAGCGAAGACUUUGGUACAACAGAAAGUGUCAGGUUUUAUGACCUUCGCUUGGUUGCUUCGGUCACUAGUGAGGAUAAGUACGUAAAUGAAUAGAGACAGAGAAGCAAACACAGGAUGUACGUGGUUCACCCAGAUUGGCUACGUCCACGGAGUAGAGGAGUUCUUAUUAGUAGUGAAGGGCUUACACAAGUACAAAGGAUCAAGCUCUCAAUUUAGUGAGUUCUUGUGAAUGAUUUAACACAAAUGGCAUUAGGCAAUAUUGUGGGGGAAUGACCCCUAUUUAUAGAAAAACUUGUAGCUUUGUCACAUUGACAUGUGUCAUGUUAUGAUUGGUUCUUGAUGUCGACAAGUGCUGCGCUCUGAUUGGCUUCUAAUCUUGACACGUGUCGAGUAGUGAUUGGCCUCCUGGUCGGAGGGGAACUCUUCUGGGUCCUUGACAGUAUAGCGUUGGCCGGUGCUCGGUAGUUUCGGGAUUGGUCAAGUAUGGUACAAACAGGUUGGAUCCUAAAAAUCCCGCGGACUCAGAAAGUAAUAACAAAAAUGGCUAAUCUAAUAACGGAUUCCGUAAAAAAAAAAACAAAAAACGUUAAAAAAGAACUAAAGGCAGUCUCUAUGCCAUCUUACGAAAUAAAAUUCAGUGCGAGAAUGCAAAGAUCUGCACAAAUGUGCAGCCUGUUAAUGUCAAUUGCCAGGUCCCUUUAAUCUCAUAGUCCUGGUACAAAUAAAGGGCUUCAAUGAAAUAAAAAGAAUUCAACAGAAGAUUAUACGGAACGUCCUUGACACAAGGUUACCGGCCUCCAUUGCCGCCGGGGCAAAGUAUAGAAAGAGAGAAAUGAGACCAAGUGAGAAACUGGAAGCAGACGCCUGUAGACUUGAAGCCAAUAGCUACAGAGGUAGGUUCAUUUAGCUGCAGACUUCUUUUUUCAUCCUAAAGUACAACAGACCUUCUACCUCCCAUAUGGAUGAUAUCGGCCACUACCUGCACCGCCAUAUCCCCCUCCUCUACUACCGUAAAAGGAAACUCCACUACCACCUCCAUAGCCACCUCCGUAGCCACCUCCAAAACCUGCAUCAUAGCCACUCCCAUAACCACCACCACCAGCUGCCCCACCAGCACCUCCAUAUCCCCCAUAACUCUCACCAGCUCCACCAUAACCACCUCCCAUAUCAUAACCCCUGCUAUAGGCUCCUCCAUAACGGCUUGAAUAUCCUAUGGAAGAUUCUCCCCUAUAAGCCCCUAUACCGCCGCCACCACCGCCACCAUAUACUCCAUAUCCGCCAAAUUCACUGCCACCAUAUCCUCCAUAAGCACUGCCUCUACCACCAUAGGCAGCAGCUGACCUAUAACCACCAGCACCACCAUAACUGCCACCUCCAAAUCCACCAUAGCUUUCUCCAUACCCACCACCAUAUGCAGGUCUAGAAUCAUUAUAACGUUUUGAUGGUGGUGCAGGUUGGUUUGGCUUCUUUGGUUCUGCCUUUUUUAUCUCCACCUACAAGAAAUAACAGAUGAAUCUAAACUAUCAAGCUUCUUGAAUGCUCAUAGAUGCAUUUAGUACAUUACAUGGCCAAACCGUCUGAGUACAUGUAAACUAAUUUCGUGUACAUAUGUGAAUUCUACCUCAGUUUUGUUUGGUCAAGCGUAUUGUAUCAUGGUCUCCUUAUUCGUCACUUCGAAAGUGAAUAAAGCAAUAUGAACUUUAAGUAAUCUACAGGGACUACUAAACCAAGCAACAAUUUAGUGCAACCCAUUACAAAACCAUUCUUCCACAUUGAUCAGCGAAAGCAGAAAAUUAAAAAGAGGAUGCAUACAGCCACAUCAAUGCAUAGAGACCCACUACACGAUGCAUACAGCCAACCCACCUAUAUAAUCAAAACUUGGCGGCACUUCAAAUUUGAAAUUUUCUUCCUCUCUCACGACAUAGGUUAGCUAUUAAGGAAUAACAUUUCAAGAGCGACAAAUUCCACCAAAAACAUCCCCCACGUUCCAUUUCUACUGUGAAUUGGUAAUAUUAUCGAUGCAUAUGUUAUAUGAUCCUCAAACUCGCUGUAGCAUGACUAUUUAUUUAUUUAUUUAUUUAAUAUCCUUUACCUCAACUUCAUCUGUUUUUCUGUUGAGUAAAGAUAAAGGUCGUACCCAGUGCACAAGGCUCCCGCUUUACGCAGGGUCUGGGAGAGGUGAAUGUCGGCUAGCCUUACCCCCAUUUAUGGAGAGGCUGCUCCAAAGUCUCGAACCCGAGACCUACCGCUCAUGGGCGAAGGCACUUGCCAUCGCACCAAGUGCGACCUCUUUCUGUUGAGUAAAGAUGAUAAAUUUAAAAUUCAUCCCACAACCUAAGAAAUGGAAAAAAGAGAGGAGGUGAAUGUACAAAAUCCUUGCUAUGCCCUCUAUAUUUAAUAGAAAAAUAAAUUGAGUUAACGGAUAUAAUUGAAGUACCACAUGAGAUUGUGUUUGAGAACCACAAUAAGGAAAAAAAGAAAAACUAUCCUAGAAUGAAGGUAAAAUUCGUGUUCGUGACAACAAUGUCGUAUAUCUGAAAAAUAAUUCAAGUAGAUUAAGAUGUUAGUACACAAUCGUUUAUCUUGUUUAUUGAACAAACAACAAGGACAACAAUGUCGUUUUCUCUCUUUCGAAAUUCAUAAGCAACAAAAUUGAGAUUUUUAUUAAACAAUCACAUGAGCUUAGAAAAUACCACAUCAACAUUUUGCAAGCAGUCUCAUAAGAAAUCCCAAUCAAGAUAAAACCAUUCAACAGUUUAUUAGAUUUCUCCUUUCAUAUAAGAGCAUGGUUCGGAGGAUUAUUUAAUUGACGUUAUAACAUCUUUAUUCAAAGAAAAAAUGAAAAAGAAAAUAGGGCAUCCCUAAGGUAUAGGCCACAGCCACUGUUGCCACUGUUGCCACUGCUCCAACCACGGCAGCAGCUUAACAGCUCCCCUAUCAAGCUUAACAGCUUCCCUAAGGCAUCCUUCCUGGCAUCGUUCUCACUAUUCUCAAUCUGAUUGCCCUUUUCUUGUGGCUUAUCCUCGAUUUCAUCAACUUCAUCAGAAGAUGCUCCGAUUUGGCCCCUGUAAGGAAUGAAAUUGAAUUCCGUGUUCAGCUAUUUAAAUAUUCAACUCUUAAGUUUUGUCAAUAGCAAUUGAGUAAGAAUAGGUAUGAUCAAGCUUAAUAAACAAAUCACAACCACAUUACAAAUCAAAAACAUAUACAGGGUAAUGCAGUUAUAUCCAAUUCUUUUGUGCUUUCUCCACAAAAGUUCUUCCAUGUUAAUGUAACUCUAUAUCAAUUAAUCUAUCAUACAAGACUAUACAUAAUCAGCAAUUGAAAACUAUGACAACACAAGCUUCCGUCCAGUGAAAAUUUUAUCCAAAGAUAGGCAAAACCAAAAACGUACAAACCUCCACAGACGUUCUAUAAUCUUUCCCUUCCCAAUAUGCUCAUCAAGCAAUUCCGGCACAUCAUCAGGAGUGACGUCGCCAUACCUGCAAUUAAUAAUACAUAGUAUUCAAAUUCCAUCGAUCCCAAUACAACAAAAUUUUAAAUUGUUAUGAUCUGAAUAUUACCAAUGGCCCGUUAUGCUUCCAUUUGAACCUGGGCUAUAGAUAAUCAAAUUUCCAUCGUGGCCUCCAGUGUGAAAGCAAGCAUCAGUAAAUACCUGAUUCGUCAAUCCUCGUAGCUCAGCCUCCUCUUUAAACUUAUAAAUGAGAACACGUGCACUAUCACCAAUCCAUUCCUCUCGACUACCUUGUGCACAUACAAAUACAUGGGAGCCAGUCAACGACUCUUGCACUCCGGAAGCCCAUGGCUUGUCAUUCACAAGGACAUCAUCAACAAAGCUGUCCACAUUCGACUCUUUCAAGCCCCUUUGAUCAACAAACAAAAA